GGAGGGGUUAGAUAGUUGGCAUUUGCAAGCGGUAACCAAAUGCGCAUUCCAUUGAGUUUGUAUGGUGGCUGCUCUUUGCACAAGCUGUGUGCUUAUGAGGUGUUGGUACUUGUCGAGGACAGCAGGGGGGUAGCGUACUCGUGGUGUUGCACUAUGUUUUGUUUCUUUGUUUUAUUUUUGAGUGUUUGAUCUGUUUGAGCCUUUGUGAUCCGAGAAAAUAAAAAUAAUAUGAGUUACCUUUGUUAAUUAAUUUAUUAUUCAUUGUUCCAUCUAUGUGGUGAUGUAAAAUCUGUCCUCUCAAACAUGUCAAACAUUUUUUGAAAUCGUAAACAUUUUUCCAAUUCUUAAACAUUUUUUUUACAAAUUCAUGAACAUUUUUUGAAAUCAUGAAGAUCUUCUAUAAAUUCAUGAACAUUUUAUGAAAUUGUGAACAUUUUUUGAACUUUGGGAACACCUUUUGAAAUUCACAAAUAUUUUUUGUUUUUAAUAAAUCAUUUUUGAAACACAUGAACAGUUUUUGAAUUCAUGAACAUUUUUUGAAUCAAUGAUCAUUUUUUGAAAUUUGAAAUUUGAGACGCCAUGCCAUACUGAGGGAGUAUGUUAGUUAUUUUCGGUAGAUCCCUCGAUAGGGUGUAUUGGCUAGACGAGUAUAUCAAAUGGAAAAUAGACAAGGAUUACCCAUGUUUAUGUCUUCACGGAGGAGGUAAAACCCUAUUUCUUGCUCUUGUAUAGAGGUUUACAAAGAUCGAGGGAUUGAGCAAUAGGUCUGAGGUUCUGUAUCUAAUCGAAUAUUCUAACCCCAACGUAUAUGGGUACCGGGAUCUAGGGUUAGAUAAUACUAGUUGGUUGGAAGGUAUAUGGGUACCAGGAUGUAGGGUUACAUCACCCCAACGUAGGUCGGUCCUGCCGCUGGUCUUCUUCCUUGGAGAUGAUUUCCUUGGUGCAAUCACAAACUCCACACAUAAAAAUACGGAUUAUUUAGAGUUUAAUUCUUUUGAGUUAUUUUAGCAAUGCUAAAAAUUCCAAAACUACAGAAGGUAAGAACCAUGGUACAUGAUCUUCUUGUGCUCUUUUGACUAAAAGUAGUAGAAGUCUGUUAAACUUGGAGAUGAUUUCUUUGGUCUAACCACAAUAUAUCAUACAAAAUUAUUCUUUGAGGCAAAAAAAAAAAAUUUCUCUGAACAACAGAUUUGCAUGUGUGCCAAAUUGCCAAUGCUUAAGAUUUUCAAACUGGGCAUGCAUUCAGACCAAAAUAUGUUAUCCUAGUUACCGACAUAAUAAAUUUUACUCACUCAUCUUGAGAUAAGCUAAGGUUGGAACUUCUCAAAGAGGGUGCCUAUCGAUUAUGAUAAGCUAAGGUGCUUGGCGAUUACAGCUACGCGUGGCUGCAGCAAGCAGAAAAUACCAAUACAAGGUUCGCAGAUUUAGUGGUUCAGCAAAACGAGAUAAAAGAACAGANNNNNNNNNNNNNNNNNNNNNNNNNNNNNNNNNNNNNNNNNNNNNNNNNNNNNNNNNNNNNNNNNNNNNNNNNNNNNNNNNNNNNNNNNNNNNNNNNNNNNNNNNNNNNNNNNNNNNNNNNNNNNNNNNNNNNNNNNNNNNNNNNNNNNNNNNNNNNNNNNNNNNNNNNNNNNNNNNNNNNNNNNNNNNNNNNNGAACGAAAGCCAGUAACUACAGCAGUCUUGCAUCAUCAGGAAAUAAAAGCUACGCUACAGGGGAAUACAUCAACCAGAGCUGAGAGCAGAAGUUCUCUCCACAUAAGCUAAUUAAUCUUUUUUCAUUACAGAACCUCAUGAGCGUAAGAAAGCAAAAAAGCGAAGCCAAAUAGGAUCUUCAGAUGCGAGCACCAGCUUCCACCUCUCCAUCCCACAAGCUCAUGCGCCCCCUCCUUGUCUCAUUUCCAUGCAAUUCGCAUCAGUUCUCCACGCCGCUUGUCCAGUAGAAGAAUGUAUCGUUGAAGCAGGGUUGCUUGAGCAUCGUCGCAGAGAACCUUUCACUGAUGUAAAUAACAGCUUAGCUUUGCAAGAAUGCAGUUCAUGUUUUUCCACUUCUUCCCCUGAAAACAAAAGUUGUUUCUCAGUCUCCACAAGCUCCACAAGAUAGCAGCAAUUACCAUAUUCAGCAUAGGUUUUUUUUAUGCACAUGCCAAAAGGCAUAAAUAUUUUCAAAGUUAGUUAUUCUAUCGAUCUCAAAGAAGCUAGAGACAAAGUCCCAUACAUAUUGAGCAACCACACAGUCAAAUAGCAAGUGUUGGACAGUUUCAUAUUCAGCACAGAAGAGACAAGAUGGAUCCUCUACAUCUCUCCUUUUAGCAAGAUCAUCUCUAGUUAGGAUUUUGUUGUGGACACACAGCCAUAAGAACACAUGAAUUUUUUGAGGACAUAAAAUUUUCCAAAGAUCAUCUCUGAUAGCAGAAGCUAUCCCUCCAAAGUUAAUAUGUUUAUAGAAGGAUUUAACUGAAUAUAACCCAUUAGACUCCAAAGACCAAAUUGGUCUAUCAGAAUCAGCUGUCAAUGGGUGCUGCUGAACAACAUCCAGAAGCUGUCUCCAGCGAUCUAAUCCACCUUGAUCAACACAUCUCCUAAAAGUCAAUCUAAGGUCAUAUCCGUCCCACACCUGAGCCACAAUGCACUCAGUUUGAUUACAAAUGCAAAAUAGGUCCCAAAAUUGCACCUUUAAGGAGCAUUUCCCUAUCCAAAUAUCAUGCCAGAAGCUGAUUAGUUCACCAUUGCCCAAUCUCCAUCUUUAGAAAUUUUUAGCAGUUGUCAAAGCCCAGGUGAUGCUCUUCCAGAAGGUAGAGCCCCCAUCACCUUUUGCCCAGAGGAGAUUGGGAGAAUUCACCCUAUACUUAUGUAAAAUAAUCUUUUUCCAAUCUGAGUCAGUAUUAUCAAAAUACCUUUUCCCCCAUAAAGCAAGUAAAGGCAUAUUAAAUUCUUUGAUGUUGGGUAUCCCAAACCCCCAAACUCUUUCUUCCUAGUGAUGAACCCCCAAUUGGCUAAAUGGCACUUGUGUUGGCCACCAACAUCUCCCCAAAAGAAGUGUGCCAUCUGUGAAUUGAUAGCGUUGAUCGCCCAUUUAGGGAAUUUAAUCACAAACAUGAGAUAGGCAGGAAUACUAAUCAAACAAGCACAAAGCAGAAUGAUCUUCCCUCUAUAAGUGAGAUAUCUCCCAAGCCAGCUAGAUAUGCCUUUUACAAUCCUAUCAAUAAUGGGAUGGAGAUCUUCCCUUUUCAGUUUGUCAUAGUGCAAAGGCACUCCUAGAUAUUUGAUAGGGAAAGAUCCCCUUUUACAACAGAAAAUCUGGGCAAUUUCAUUAGCCGCUGCAUCCUCCACAUUUAUCGUCAUCAAAUCACUUUUGUUAAAGUUAAUUUUCAUCCUAGAGAGGUUUUAAAAGCAAGACAAAAACCACUUAAAAUUUCUAGCUUUAUGAACAGAAUUUUCCAAGAAGAGGAUAAUAUCUUCUGCAUAUUACAGACUUACUACCCCUCCCGGAAUUACAUUGGGCAGAAGCCUAGAAAUUAAAUCUUGAGAAGCAGCCUUUUUCAAUAUUUUUGUAAAAACAUCAGCCACCAAGUUAAACAACAAGGGGGAAUGCGGGUCCCCUUGUUUAAUCCCUCCCCCCCAUGAAAUAAUUAUCAUUAGUAUCAUUGAUUCUCACAGCGAACGUGCUAUUAAUCAACAUACUUUUAAUCCAAGAGAUCCAUUUGGGGCAAAAACCUCUAGAUUGAAGCAUUUCAAACAGAAAAUCCCAGUUGACUCUAUCAUAGGCUUUUUCAUAGUCUAAUUUGAGAACUAAACCUUGAGAACCCGAUUUCUUAACCUCAUGGAUCACUUCAUGUGCCAUCACUACACUCUCCAAAAUAUAUCUACCUUUGAUAAACGCAGUUUGAUUUGAUGAAAUUAAUCUACGACCAACGGGGGAAACCUUGUUGGUCCUAGCUUUUGAGAAAAUUUUAAUUCCACAAUUACUCAAACUGAUCGGUCUGAACUUUUUCAUAUCCUUGGUAUCAGAUUCUUUCGGGAUAAGAACAAUUAAAGCAAAGUUCAAUCUCUGCAUGUCCAAUUUACCCUCCUCAAAGUCUCUAACUAGAGCCAUGAAAUCAGUUUUGAUCACCUCCCAAAAGGUUUGUAAAACAGAAAGGACAGCCCAUCGGGACCAGGGGCCCCAUGUGCAUAAGAACCAAAUAUUGCCUCCUUAAUUUCUUCCUCAGAGAAGCUUCUCUGGAGAAGGUCAUUUUCUUCUUGGGUAACCAAGUCACUGUCUUCCCAGAAGGAAGGGCCAAGAUGGAUGUUAAGUUUAUCCUCAACACCAAAUAGGUUUUUAUAAAAGUUAGUAGCUACAUCCAACAUUUCUUUGGUAGUAUAAACAGGGCCAUUAUCUCCAUUCAAUUCAGAAAGGUGGUUUUUCCUAUAUCUAUGAUUAGCCACCGCCUGAAAAUAUGCAUUAUUUUUAUCACCAUCAACAAUCCUACGAUCUCUGGAUCGCUGCCAAAAGGCAGUUUCUUCUUUACUCCAAAUACCAGCAAGUUCUUUCUUAAUCUCCUCCAUUCUAACUCUAUCUACAUCAUUAAUUUGAUUCUUUUCGGAGAAUACAUUGAGAAUAUCAAAUUCGAGCAGAAGCUCUCUCUUUUUUCUCUUGAUGCCUGCCUCAAUAUUAAUACUCCAGCCUUUAACCUUCUUUCCGAAUAACCUACAUUUGUUCAUCCAAAUAUCUAUGGCUGUUUUACCAGGGACUGGAGUAUUCCAUAUCUUGUUCACCAGAUCCUUAAAAUAUGGUUGGUUAAGCCACCAUUUCUCAAAUCGAAACAUUUUUGUGGAGGUAACCCUCCAAGCACUCGUGUCUAAAAGCAAUGGUGUAUGGUCGCUCCCAACACGUGGGAGCAUGGUCACCACAGAAAGAGGAAUUAAUUAUCCCAGGAGCCAGAAGUAAAUAUUCUAUCUAUCGCAGCAAAAAUAGGAUUGUUCUGGUUGUUGCUCCAAGUGAACUUCCUAUUAGCACUCUUGAUCUCCAUAAGGGACUAUUUAUUAAUCCAAUCAUUAGAAAAAUAUGAAAACUGACUAUUAACUACCCCAUUAUUCUUAUCAUCGCUCGAUCUGACCAAAUUAAAAUCUCCACCCAACAAAACUGGGUAAGUGAGGCCCUCCAUAGUGUCAUGUAGCUCAGCAAUAAAUUCCAAAUUAAGUUCAUUAUAAGAAGUACCAUAGAUAGCCACCAAAUGCCACAAGAACCCAUCACUCUUAUUUUUGACAGUGGCAAUAACGCAAAACUUUUUAUUGAUGAAACUUAUCACCUCAAACAAGUCAUUUUUAGACCCACAGGGAUCCCUCCAGCUGUGUUCACUGCAGGCAAGUAAUGCCAAACAAAGUCGUCCUUGCCAAAAAUGUAUUUUAGAACAUGACUAUCAAUAUUUUCUCUUUUGGUUUCAAAGAAACAAACAAAAUCUACAUGAUUAUUACUAACAAAAUCUCCUAGGCACCGAUUUUCCCAGUUUGACCCAUAACACGAAUGUUCCAGAAAGCUCCCAUCAUUUAACUCUAAAAGGGUGCGACAAGCCACAAGGCUUCUUCUUAGUAUUCAGAACAUGGCUUUCCAAUAAUGGCUCAGCAGUGCCAUCUGCACCAAUAGUAGAAAAGUCACUGCUAAUAAUCUGAGACUUAGAACCCUCCAGGAUCUCUAUAUCUAAACUAUCAGAAAGAACAAUCUCCGGAUUAUCGUCAGCAAACUGGAGACAUCUAGCUUUCUCAUUAUCAAUCAUAUCCAUGAUAAUAUCUUUUUGUUCUUGCGUAUUAUUGCCAAUGCAUAGAUAUACUUUAUCAGUAUUUAAAACAAGUUCACUAGGGUCUAAGAUAGCAAACGAUUUACCUUUGAAAGUGUUAGGAAUCUCCAGGUUCUUCUUCAUCAUAUAUGCAACAGCUUUAUCCAUAAUCUUGAUGUUUCCAUGGUUCCUAGUCAUUGGCUUGCUCGCUAGCACCGGGCCCCAGACAGGUGAAUUUUUGACACUUGGUUUCUUCUUGUGCACUGAUUCCGCAUUAUCCAAAGUUUCCAGCAACGAUCUCUUAGCAGAUCCCAUUGCCGUCGCCAGAUCUUCAGGGAGGCAUUGCAUCUCAUCUACCAGACCCCCCUCUUCAUCAGACUCCACCAUUUCAAAUCUGCUUAAUUGUUUAGAAUAGUAGUCUAGGUGCACUGACAAGGGAUCAGAUCUUGCAGAAAGAGAGGGCCUUGUAGAGGUGAUAUCUUCCUUCUCUGCAUCCUUGGUAACCAUUUUCUCAGGGGUUUUGUUCCUAACCUCUUCCACAAAGUCCUCAUGAACGGUAUCCAACAUAUUAGUGGGGUGAAACUCAACUGUAGAAGCAACUUUCUGUGGCAGUGACUGACUUGAACUUGCAGUAAAGGUAAAUUUGGAAGGGAAGUUUGCCUUGUACAGCUCAUCAAUAGGUUCCUCCAUAUCACCCCCUCAAAUUUAUCUUUACUAGACACAUCCCCAUUGUUAUCUUCAUUUUCCUUUUCCAAGUUAUCCAAAUCUAGAUCAAGAUCAUCACCAUCAGAGUCUUCUCCCAUUUGCUCAAAACCUUCCACAAUGAAGAACAAUAUGUACAACUUCCUUUUCAUCUCCACUAACCUCUCAAAUGGUAUUUUCCUUGGGUCUCUACAAGAAACUUUCACUCUGAUGGUCUCAUAGAAGCUCUUAAAAAUGCCAUUCUAGUCUACAUCAACCAGGAUCCCAAAACAUGCAGUAAUCUGGGCAAAAGCCUUCCAAGCACACCAUUUAGGAGGAAUCCCUUCAAUCCGAACCCAAGCUUCAGUUAACACUCCAAAUUCAUCUAGCAUUCCUACCCAUUCACAAAUCUUGACAGAGACCCCAUCAAUUGGCAGCUCAAAUGCAGGAAACUCGAUCAGGUCAUCCACAUUUUUCCAUGGAGGGAAUUGAUAACCCACAAGUAUAGGGGAUCGCAACAGUUUUCGAGGGUAGAGUAUUCAACCCAAAUUUAUUGAUUCGACACAAGGGGCGCCAAAGAAUAUUCUCAGGUAUUAGCAGCUGAGUUUUCAAUUCAACCACACCUGGAAACUUAAUAUCUGCAGCAAGGUAUUUAGUAGCAAAGUAAUAUGAUAGUAAUGGUAACGGUGGUAAAAGGUAACGGUAGCAAAAGUAAUAUUUUUGGUGUUUUAUAGUGAUGAUAACAGUAGCAACGGAAAAGUAAAUAAGCGAAGAACAAUAUAUGGAAAGCUCGUAGGCAAUGGAUCGGUGAUAGAGAAUUAUGUCGGAUGCGGUUCAUCAUGUAACAGUCAUAACCUAGGGUGACACAGAACUAGCUCCAGUUCAUCAAUGUAAUGUAGGCAUGUAUUCCGAAUAUAGUCAUACGUGCUUAUGGAAAAGAACUUGCAUGACAUCUUUUUUCCUACCCUCCCGUGGCAGCGGGGUCCUAUUAGAAACUAAGGGAUAUUAAGGCCUCCUUUGUAACAUCCCAAAUUUUCAAUUUGGAAUGUUAUACACUAGAUCAUCAUUUGCAUAUCAUAUUUUAUUGUAUUUUUGUCGAUCCUAGAAAAUUCUACGCAACUCAAGGACCCCCGGAGAGAGUUGGGGAUUUCGUUAUUUUCAUAUUUGAGUUUUCUCAAAUUUUGAAAAUAGGAUCAUUUGAUUUUAUUUAUUUUAUCUUCAAUUAUUUCUAUUAUCAAAUAUGAGAGAGGGAAUAAAAUGACUUUCCCAAAAAUAAAGAAAUAUUGAGAAUUUAAUUAAAAAAUCAAAUAAGAUUUUAUUUUGGUUUUAUUUGCUAUUUUAUUUGAAUUUAGGAAAAAUGCGUGUUUUUCAAAAUUGCAUUUAGGCCCCAAAUAAAUGUUCAUCCUGUGCGGCUUGAUUUUAGAAGCCGGGGAAAAUUUAUUUCGGGAUUUUUGGAGUCCGUUUAGUAUUUCUUUUAUUUUUUUCUAAGCGUAACUAUUUAAAAAAAACGCGCAACCGACUUAUCAGGCCGUGUCCGACCUGGACACCCGGCCCGGCCGGCUUUAAAUAGCCGGGAGGCCCAGCCGCCACCCCCCACCGAAACCCUAGCCGCCCUAUCACGCCGCCGCCGCCGUCGGAUCCGCCGCUGGAGGUAGAUCUCGCCGCCGGAUUUUUUUUUAAAAACCGAUCGGUUUUCCGUCGGUUCGUUCGAUUUUUUUAGUUCGUUUUUUUAAAUAGAUCGAUUUUUCCGGUUUAUUUAUUUAGCGAGCGUUCGCCCGCUCGUUCGUUUUAACGAACGCGUUCUUCGUUUAGAUCCAGUUAACGAACGUUCGUUCGUUAACCCGUUCGUCAUUUUCUUUUCUCGGAUUAAAUCCGUGAUUUUUCUGAUCGCGAUUUCUGAUCCGAUUUUCGUUUUAGUUUAACUUUUCGCUCGUUUAUCGGAAUCAGGCGACAAGCACCUGGAGUUUCGUCUCGAAACCCUCUUUCCGUUUAACCAACUCAAACAAGUUUUUGCCACUGUAAAAAUUGCCUUAGAUCCAGAAUAGUAAACGAAGCUUGUUUCUUUUGCCGUUUGUCUUUCGUUGCUUCGUUCGAUUUGAUUCUUUUUGCCAGCCAGAGUUCUUAAGUUGAACUUUCUGGUUAGAUCUCUUAUUCGAGUUUUACCUGUGCAUUAGAUGAGUACUUAUUGUAUGCUUGUUUGUUUGCGAUAGAGUACCCGGAGUGCGCCGCUUGCUACUUUGAAUCGCUAGGUUUUGCGGAUCAUCAGCAAGGCAAGUAACACUUUGAUCAUACCUCCUACUACCCAAUUUUUAUUGCAUUAGACCAAUCCUCACACAUUGCAUGAUUAAGAUCUAAUUAAAUUAUGGGUUUGGGAAGUAGUUGAGGUAGAACCUAUUGCCUGUUUAUUAUCAAACCUUUGGGAGUUACUUCUACAUUUGCGUAUUAUGCCAUGCUAUGCUAGUAGACAUGGAUUGAGUGAGUGUAUCCAUGACAGAUGUGAGAUUGUUAAAUUAAUGGUUUAUAUAAGGUGACAACUUAAAUACACAUCUGGGUGGAUUGAGGCACCUGGGUAUUCCAGCGAUUGCCUGUUUUCUUUUGGACCACCACCCAGGCUCAAAGGGAUCAUGAGAUUAUUCAUGCUAGAAACUUCCGAGUGCAUCCACAAGCUACUAUGGGCUCUAGCAUAGUUGACUAAGUCGUGCGAACUCUUACAGUGGUAGACUAGCAGAUGUAGGGGAUGUAGGUGGUACGGUCUACCCAUCGUAAGGUGCUAGCGCUUCUGAAAGACUAUGUCUCGGUCAUCCGUUUCUCAAACACCAUGCAGUGCGAGAAAUCCAACGGAGGAGACCGAGUCUUGUGGGGUAAAGUGCGCAAACCUCUGCAGAGUGUAUAAACUAAUCAUGGUUAGCCGUGUCCCCGGUUAUGGACAUCUUAAGUAUCUAGUACCUAGAUUAUCAUGUGAAUCUCAUCAGGUUACUCUAAAAUAAAUUUUGUUGGGUUUUGUUUAAUGAUGAUGCUUAAUUGGGAUUGAGAAUGUUGUCAACCAUUCUCAAUGUUUAACAACUACCAUGAUAGUUAAAUAAAAUUUAUUCCAUUGCAGUAGGGAAAAAUUGGCUUUACGCAAAACUGUAACCAUAGAGCUUUCCACCAGCCAAAUAUGCAUGUAGUAUAGCCUUAUUCUUCCAUUACUCUCUAUGUGUUACAUUGCCAGCAUAUUCCAUGUGCUGACCCAUUUUGGGCUGCAACGUUAAUGUUGCAGACUUUUCAGACGAUGAUUAAGGUGCCUUUAGGUCGUGGUUCUAUACUCAGUGAUGCCGUUGGAGUUGAUGGAUUCACUUAUCUUCCAAGCCUUCCGCUGUUAUCGUUAUUAGAUGGUCUUAAGCCAUAUUUAUUGUAAUAAGUUCUCUUUUGAGACAUUCGAUGUAAUAAGUGUGUGAUUGCUACUAUGUUAUAAAUCCUUCAAGUACUAUGUGGUGUCAGCAUUACUGAUCCAGGGAUAACACCUGAGCAUAGAGAUUGGACCGUUUGAGGUCUGGUCGCUACAAGAUGGUAUCAGAGCACACGCUGACUGUAGGACACGACCACUAAGCAAAAGCCCUAGAUCAUUACUCUCUCUUCUCAUUCUGACUCCUCAUCUUUGCUACUCUUUUAGGUUGGCGGAUGCAAGGAACAAGUUCACACAACCGGAUGAAGAUACACCCUUUGGACGUCACUUGAAGGAAGUCACUAGAUACCUGAGCAUAGGAGUACCAAGCUUCACCGGAACCUACAACGCUACUCUACCUGAAGAAGAGCGCUGGAUGAUUCAAGUUCAAGUUCCAGGAAGGACGUUCAUUCCAGUCACUGAGCCCAUAGAGUUUUCCUUUGAUGCACCAACCUGGAGUCUAGGAAAGAGCAUGGCAGCUCACAUCGCCAUGGGACGCAUUGGAGAAGUUUACCGCAAUGAUCUCAAGGAUACUAUCUAUCAGAUUUGUGGGCGCCGAGAUGAGCACUUGGAGAUGAUCAGCACCAGGAAGGAUAGAUCAAUUGCAUCUUUUAUCCAGGAGUUAAACCAGCACAUUCGACGUCAGGAGAACCAGAUGUGCGCCGACAUGAUAGAUCUGAAGAAGGCGAGGACAAGAAUCAAGGAACUGGAGGAAGAACUCAAGGCUACUCGUGAAGAUUAUGAAGAGGAAAUCGAAGUAUUAGUGGAGAAGAAUGACGAUCUGAUCAAGAAGAUUGGAAUAUUUGUGGGAGGCCCUACACCAGUAGAAGAAGACGAAUAACCCAAGGAGAUUCGCCCGAAGACUACAUCAUCAUCGACGACACCGACUUGGACCCAAAUGAUAGCGAUGAUGACUAUGUUGAUGAAGCUGGAGCAGAUAUCAUGGAGUCUACAACCGAAGAAUAUUUCUAGCAGACCACCCCAAUAGUAGUAGUAGUCCACCAUGUAAAUAUAGUAGUCCGAGCACUUUUGUGAUAGUUAGAUCGAUUGUAUGCCCUUGUUUGAUUGAUUGAAUGAAGUGAAUUGUUUGCUUUUGCCUCAUGUGCAUAUGGGUAGUGUUUUCUCUUUAGACCCCCUCUAUUCUUAAAUCUCAUCCUUUCUAAACCCUCAGAUGCCUCCGAGAUGUGACCCCGGAUUUACCUUCCCACCGGAGCUCACUCAGUUGAUCCAGUAGCAGAACACAUUGAUGUAGUUGCUCUAGAAUCAGAAUCAGGGGAACAACAACAACAACCCACCACCACCACCACCACCUGUUGAUCACUUAGCCCGUUUUCUUAGGCUGAAUCCGCCGGUGUUUUCCAAUAGCACCGAGCCGAUAGUAGCAGAUGAUUGGCUCCGUAAGACAGCUAGAAAGUUGACCACGACAGGAUGCACAGAUGCGGAAAAGGUGAAGUUUGCCACACAUCAGCUGGAAGGACCCGCAACAUCAUGGUGGGAGAAUUUCACAGCCACUUUCCAUGUCGACACUGUCACGUGGGAUCAGUUUCAGCAGCCUUUUCGUACUACCCAUGUUUCAGCAGGAGCUAUGGCCAUGAAGAAGCAAGAAUUUCGCAACUUGCGCCAAGGAGGACGGACAGUUGGCCAGUAUGUGGAGGACUUUAGUAAGCUAGCACGUUAUGCCCCAGAUGACGUUGCUACGGAUGCAGCUAAGCAGGAGAAGAUUAUGGAAGGACUGAAUGAUGAGUUGAGCAUGCAGUUGAUGGUAGCAACCUUCAACAACUACCAGGAGUUGGUAGAUCGUGCUCUCAUGAUUGAAGGGAAGCAGCAGCAGAUUGAGAAUCGCAAGAGGAAGUAUGGACAAGGGAAGUACAAUUCAGGAGCCCAGCAAAAGCCACGUUUUACCCCUAGACCGGGAGGACAUUUUCGGCAUACCCAUGGAGGAGGUAGCUCGCACAAUCACAAUGGCACCAAGAAUGGUAAUGGGAAUGGAGGAAGCAACGGCCAGAAUCGCACCAACCCAUCGACCCCAACCAAGAGAGACCUGAGCCAAGUCACUUGCUUUAAGUGCCAGAAGACCAGACAUUAUGCCAAUGAAUGUCCUGAAUCCUAGAAUGGAAAUGGCAAUGGAAGCUCUGGAAAGAAGCCGAACCCUUUCAACAGGGGACGGGUGAACCACGUUAACGUGGAGGAGGUUGAAGAGCAGCCGGAUGCCGUAAUCGGUAAGUUUUUUGGUUAAGUCAUUUACUGCACUCGUUCUUUUUGAUACUGGUGCAUCGCAUUCAUACAUAUCAAGGGGAUUUGUGGAUAAGUAUAAACUACCAACCCAAGCCCUUAGAUCACCCAUGUUAGUAACCUCGCCUGGAGCAGAGUAUAUGGCCAGUCUAUGGUGUGAUCGGUUACCAUUAAGGAUUGGUAACUAUGUAUUUCCCUUGGACCUAAUAGUAUUGGAAUCCCAAGGAUUGGAUGUGAUAUUAGGCAUGAAUUGUUUAUCAAAGUAUGAAGGGAAUAUUGAAUGUGCCAGUAAGUCAAUUUUGCUUACAACGCCAGAAGGGAGAAGGAUCAAGUAUGUAUCCCGGCAUGUGCCAAAAAGGACUCAAGUAAAUUGUUUAAUAGGAGUUGUGCAGGAGGAAGUACCAGUGGUGAAAGAUUUCCCGGAUGUAUUUCCAGAGGAGUUGCUAGACAUGCCACCAGAUAGAGAUAUUGAGUUUUUGAUUGAGCAUUUGCCAGGCACAGGGCCAAUAUCUAAGAGACCAUAUAGGAUGCCCACAAAGGAUUUGGUGGAGAUUAAGAAGCGGAUUAAGGAGUUACUGGAUAAAGGAUAUAUUCACCCAAGUUCUUCACCUUGGGGAUCGCCAAUACUUCUAGUGGAGAAGAAGGAUGGAUCGUUAAGGAUGGUUGUUGAUUAUCGAGGAUUGAAUGAAGUAACCAUCAAGAACAAGUACCCACUACCGAUGAUCAAUGAUCUGUUUGAUCGAUUGCAAGGAGCUAAGGUAUUUUCCAAGAUCGAUCUGCGAUCAGGAUACCACCAGUUGAAGAUUCGAGAACAGGAUAUACCUAAGAUAGCUUUUACCACCAGGUAUGGGCUAUACGAGUAUACUGUUAUGUCAUUUGGUCUGACUAACGCACCUGCAUAUUUUAUGAACGUGAUGAACAAAGUGUUUAUGGAGUUUUUGGAUUAGUUCGUUGUAGUGUUCAUUGAUGAUAUCCUGGUUUACUCGAAGAAUGAAGAUGAGCAUAAGGAGCAUUUGCGUUUGGUUCUUGGAAAGCUCAGAGAACAUCAAUUAUAUGCCAAGUUUAGCAAAUGUGAGUUUUGGUUGGAGGAAGUUUGAUUUCUCGGACACGUUAUAUCUGGAGAAGGUAUAGCAGUAGAUCCCACUAAGGUUGAUACCGUGACAAAUUGGGAAGCGCCAACAACAGUUGGAGAGAUCCGGAGUUUUCUUGAACUCGCAGGAUACUACCGGAGAUUUAUUGAGAAUUUCUCAAAGAUUGCGAAGCCUAUGACGGAGUUGUUGAAAAAGGAUACCAAGUUCAUAUGGACUGAGGAAUGUGAGGCUAGUUUCCAGGAGUUUAAGAAACGUUUGGUUACCUCACCAGUGUUGAUUUUGCCAGAUCAGACCAAGGAUUAUGAGGUGUAUUAUGACGCUUCACGUCGAGGACUUGGAGCAGUGCUUAUGCAGGAAGGAAGAGUUGUUUCAUAUGCCUCACGACAGCUUAAGCCUCAUGAGUUAAAUUAUGCUAUGCAUGAUUUGGAGUUAGCAGCCGUAGUGCAUGCAUUGAAAACCUGGAGACACUUUCUCAUUGGAAACCAUUGUGAGGUGUACACGGAUCACAAGAGUUUGAAGUAUACUUUCACGCAGAAGGAGUUGAAUCUCAGGUAAAGGAGAUGGUUGGAGCUCAUCAAGGAUUAUGAUAUGAGAUUGCAUUAUCACCCCGGAAAGGCUAACAUAGUAGCCAACGCGUUGAGUCGUAAAAGCCAUGUCAACACACUAAUGACGGGAGAUUUACCAAGGGAGUUAGCCGAAAAUAUCUGAGAGCUAUGUUUGGAAAUAGUACCAAGAGGCUAUGUAGCAGCAUUGGAGAUUCAGUCUACUUUGAUGGAGAAGAUUAGGGAAGCCCAGAAGACUGACAAGGAGAUUGCCUCUAUAAAGGAGAAAAUGAGCAAAGGAAAAGCUAAGGGAUUUCGUGAGGAUGAGCACGAUACCUUAUGGUUUGAAGACCGUGUUUAUGUGCCUAAUGAUUUGGAGAUCAGGAAGUUAAUUCUGCAAGAGGCCCAUGAUUCACCCUAUUCGAUUCACCCAGGAAAUACCAAGAUGUAUCUGGAUUUGAAGGAUAUUUUCUGGUGGACCGGAAUGAAGAAGGAUAUUGUGGAGUAUGUAGCAGUUUGUGAUGUAUGUCAGAGAGUAAAGGCAGAGCAUCAGAAGCCAGCAGGAUUGCUACAGCCAUUGCCGAUACCCGAAUGGAAGUGGGAUAAGUUAGGCAUGGAUUUUAUUACAGGUUUACCCAGAACUCGUUCAGGCUAUGAUUUGAUUUGGGUUGUAGUCGAUCGUUUGAAAAAGGUAGCUCAUUUCAUUCCAGUAAAGACUACCUAUACCAGUGCAAAGUUGGCAAAGAUAUACAUGACCAGAAUCGUAUGUCUGCAUGGAGUUCCAAGGAGCAUUGUAUCAGAUAGAGGAACCCAAUUUACCUCAAAGAACUGGAAUCAGUUGCAUGAAACUUUAGGUACCAGACUGGAGUUUAGUAUAGCCUUCCAUCCGCAGACAGAUGGACAGACCGAGAGAGUCAACCAGAUUUUGGAGGAUAUGCUGAGAGCUUGUGCGCUAGAUUACGGAUCUAGUUGGGACGAGAAUUUGCCAUAUGCAGAGUUCUCUUACAACAACAGCUACCAAUCCAGUUUGAAGAUGGCCCCUUUCGAAGCCUUGUACGGAAGGAGGUGCAGGACCCCAUUGUCGCGGGGUGAAGUUGGAGACCGCCAGUUGUUUGGACCGGAUCUGAUUAAGGAGUCUGAACAGAAAGUGAAAUUGAUUCGCGAUAGGCUCAAGGUAGCUCAAUCCAGGCAGAAGAGCUAAGCAGAUUCUAAACGCAAGGCGACCGUUUAUGAAGUCGGAGACCGAGUUUACCUUCGAGUAUCUCCACUUCGAGGAGUUAAGCACUUUGGAGUUAAGGGAAAGUUAGCGCCACAUUUUGUGGGACCAUACAAAGUUUUGGAGCGUAUGGGAGAAGUUGCCUACAAGUUGGGGUUGCCUAAAGGAUAGUCAGGAGUUCACGACGUGUUCCACGUUUCCCAGUUGAAGAAGUGCCACGCAGAGAUGGCUGAUAUACCGCUGAGAGAUACAGUGCCACUGGAAGCGAUUCAGUUGGACAAUGAUUUGACCUAUGAGGAGAAACCAGUUAAGAUUCUAGAGUAUGCCAGUCGAGUCACCCGCAUCAAGGUUAUCAAGUUUUGCAAAGUUCAGUGGAGCCACCACACAGAGGAUGAAGCCACCUGGGAGCGAGAGGAAGAAUUGCUGAAGGACCACCCUCACCUAUUUUCUAGCCAACCCGAAUCUCGAGGGCGAGAUUCAUCUUAAGGGGGGUAGGUUUGUAACAUCCCAAGUUUUCAAUUUGGAAUGUUAUACACUAGAUCAUCAUUUGCAUAUCAUAUUUUAUUGCAUUUUUGUCGAUCCUAGAAAAUUCUACGCAACUCAAGGACCCUCGGAGAGAGUUGGGGAUUUCGUUAUUUUCAUGUUUGAGUUUUCUCAAAUUUUGAAAAUAGGAUCAUUUGAUUUUAUUUAUUUUAUCUUCAAUUAUUUCUAUUAUCAAAUAUGAGAGAGGGAAUAAAAUGAAUUUCCCAAAAAUAAAGAAAUAUUGAGGAUUUAAUAAAAAAAUCAAAUAAGAUUUUAUUUUGGUUUUAUUUGCUAUUUUAUUUGAAUUUAGGAAGAAUGCGCAUUUUUCAAAAUUGCAUUUAGGCCCCAAAUAAAUGUUCAUCCUGUGCGGCUUGAUUUUAGAAGCUUGGGAAAAUUUAUUUCAGGAUUUUUGGAGUCUGUUUAGUAUUCCUUUUGUUUUUUCUGAGUGUAACUAUUUAAAGAAAAAAACGCGCAACCGACUUAUCGGGUCGUGUCCGACCUGGACACCCGGCCUGGCCGGCUUUAAAUAGCCGGGAGGCCCAGCCGCCACCCCCCACCGAAACCCUAGCCGCCCUAGUGCACCGCCGCCCGCCGCCGCCGGAGGUAGAUCUCGCCGCCGUUUUUUUUAAAAACCGACCGGUUUUUCGUCGGUUCGUUCUGUUUUUUUAGUUCGUUUUUUAAAUAGAUCGGUUUUUGCGGUUUAUUUAUUUAGCGAGCGUUCCCCCGUUCGUUCAUUCUUUAACCUGUUCGUCGUUUUCUUUUUCUCGGAUUAAAUUCGCGAUUUUUCUGAUCGUGAUUUCUGAUCCGAUUUUUGUUUUAGUUUAACUUUUUGCUCGUUUGUCGGAAUCAGGCAAUUCAAGUGCCUGGAGUUUCGUCUCGAAACCCUCUUUCCAUUUAAUCAACUCAAACAAGUUUUUGCCACUAUAAAAAUUGACUUAGAUCUAGAAUAGUAAAUGCAGCUUGUUUCUUUUGCCGUUUGUCUUUCGUUGCUUCCUUCGAUUUGAUUCUUUUUGCCAACCGGAGUUCUUAAGUUGAACUUUAUGGUUAGAUCUCUUAGUCGAGUUUUACCUAUGCAUUAUAUGAGUACUUAUUGUAUGCUUGUUUGUUUGCGAUAGAGUACCCGGAGUGCGCCGCUUGGUACUUUAAAUCGCUAGGUUUUGCGGAUCAUCAGCAAGGCAAGUAACACUUUGAUCAUACCUCCUACUACCUAGUUUUUAUUGCAUUAGACCAAUCCUCACACAUUUCAUGAUUAGGAUCUAAUUAAAUUGUGGGUUUGGGAAGUAGUUGAGGUAGAACCUAUUACCUGUUUAUUAUCAAACCUUUGGGAGUUACUUCUACGUUUGCGUAUUGUGCCAUGCUAUGCUAGUAGACGUGGAUUGGGUGAGUGUAUCCAUGACAGAUGUGAGAUUGUUAAAUUAAUGGUUUAUCUAAGGUGGCAAAUUAAAUACACAUCUGGGUGGAUUGAGGCACCUGGGUAUUCCAGUGAUUGCCUGUUUUCUUUUGGACCGCCACCCAGGCUCAAAGGGAUCAUGAGAUUAUUCAUGCUAGAAACUUCGGUGUGCAGCCACAAGCUACUAUGGGCUCUAGCAUAGUUGACUAAAUCAUGCGAACUCUUACAGUGGUAGACUAGCAGAUGUAGGGGAUGUAGGUGGUACGGUCUACCCAUCGUAAGGUGCUAGCGCUUCUGAAAGACUAUGUCUCGGUCAUCCGUUUCUCAAACACCAUGCAGUGUGAGAAAUCCAACGGAGGAGAUCGAGUCUUGUGGGGAAAAGUGCGCAAACCUCUGCAGAGUGUAUAAACUGAUCAUGGUUAGCCGUGUCUCCGGUUAUGGACAUCUUGAGUAUCUAUUACCUAGAUUAUCAUGUGAAUCUCAUCAGGUUACUCUAAAAUAAAUUUUGUUGGGUUUUGUUUAAUGAUGAUGCUUAAUUGGGAUUGAGAAUGCUGUCAACCAUUCUCAAUGUUUAACAACUACCAUGAUAGUUAAAUAAAAUUUAUUCCAUUGAAGUAGGGAAAAAUUGGCUUUACGCAAAACUGAAACCAUAGAGCUUUCCACCAGCCAAAUAUGCAUGUAGUAUAGCCUUAUUCUUCCAUUACUCUCUAUGUGUUACAUUGCCAGCAUAUUCCAUGUGGUGACCCGUUUCGGGCUGCAACGGCAGACUUUUCAGACGACGAUUAAGGUGCCUUUAGGUCGUGGUUCUAUACUCAGUGAUGCUGUUGGAGUUGAUGGACUCACUUAUCUUCCAAGCCUUCCGCUGUUAUCGUUAUUAGAUGGUCUUAAGCCAUAUUUAUUGUAAUAAGUACUCUUUUGAGACACUCGAUGUAAUAAGUGUGUGAUUGCUACUCUGUUAUAAAUCCUUCAAGUACUAUGUGGUGUCAGCAUUACUGAUCCAGGGAUGACACCUGAGCACAGAGAUUGGACCGUUUGAGGUCUGGUCGCUACAUCCUUUUAAUAGAGUACAGACCAAAGUAUUAACACAUAAUGAAUACAUGAACUCCUCAAACUACGAUCAUCACCGGUAAGUAUCCCGAUUAUUGUCACUUCGGGGUUAACGGAUCAUAACACAUAAUAGGUGACUAUAGACUUGCAAGAUAGGAUCAAGAACUCUCAUAUAUUGAUGAAAACAUAAUAGGUUCAGAUCUGAAAUCAUGGCACUCGGGCCCUAGUGAUAAGCAUUAAGCAUAGCAAGGUCAUAGCAACAUCGAUCUCAGAACAUAGUGGAUACUAGGGAUCAAACCCUAACAAAACUAACUCGAUUACAUGAUAAAUCUCAUCCAACCCAUCACCGUCUAGCAAGCCUACGAUGGAAUUACUCACGCACGACGGUGAGCAUCAUGAAAUUGGUGAUGGAGGAUGGUUGAUGAUGACGAUGGCGACGGAUUCCCCUCUCCGGAGCCCCGAACGGACUCCAGAUCAGCCCUCCCGAGAGAGUUUAGGGCUUGGCGGUGGCUCCGUAUCGUAAAAUGCGAUGAAUCCCUCUCUUUGUUUUUCUCUCUCCGAAAGUGAAUAUAUGGAGUCAAGGUUGAGGUCGGUGGAGCGUUAGGGGGCCCACGAGGCAGGGGGCGCGCCCAGGGGGGGCAGGCACGCCCCCACCCUCGUGGACAGGUGGAGGCCCCCCUGACGUGGAUCUUCCUUCUAGUAUUUUUUAUAUAUUCCAAAAUAAUUCUCCGUUGAUUUUCAGGUCAUUCCGAGAACUUUUAUUUCUGCACAAAAAUAACACCAUGGCAAUUCUGCUGAAAACAUCGCCAGUCCGGGUUAGUUCCAUUCAAAUCAUGCAAGUUAGAGUCCAAAACAAGGGCAAAAGUGUUUGGAAAAGUAGAUACGACGGAGACGUAUCAACUCCCCCAAGCUUAAACCUUUGCUUGUCCUCAAGCAAUUCAGUUGAUAAACUGAAAGUGAUAAAGAAAAACUUUUACAAACUCUGUUUGCUCUUGUUGUUGUAAAUAUGUCAAGCCAACAUUCAAGUUUUCAGCAAAGAUUAUGAACUAACCAUAUUCACGAUAACAUUUAGGUCUCAUGUUUACUCAUAUCAAUGGCAUAAUCAACUAGCGAGCAAUAAUAAUAAAUCUUGGAUGACAACAUUCUCUCAAAACAAUCAUGAUAUGAUAUAACAAGAUGGUAUCUCGCUAGCCAUUUCUGAGACCGCAAAACAUAAAUGCAAAGCACCUUUAAAGAUCAAGGACUGACUAGAAAUUGUAAUUCAUGGUAAAAGAGAUCCAGUCAAGUCAUACUCAAUGUAAACUAAUAGUAAUGGAUGUAAAUGACAGCAAUGCUCUCCAACUGGUGCUUUUUAAUAAGAGGAUGAUGACUCAACAUAAAAGUAAAUAGAUAGGCCCUUCGCAGAGGGAAGUAGGGAUUUGUAGAGGUGCCACAACUCGAUUUUGAAAUAGAUAUGAAUAAUAUUUUGAGCGGUAUACUUUCAUUGUCAACAUAACAACCAAGAGAUGGCAAUAUCUUCCAUGCUACACACAUUAUAGGCGGUUCCCAAACAGAAUGUUAAAGUUUAUACCCCCCUCCACCAACAAGCAUCAAUCCAUGGCUUGCUCGAAACAACGAGUGCCUCCAACUAACAAUAGUCCCGGGGGAGUUUUGUUUGCAAUUAUUUUGAUUUGAUUUUCAUAAAGCAUGGGGCUGGGCAUCCCGAUGACCAACCAUUUUCUCGUGAGUGAGGAGUGGAGUCCACUCCUCUUGAGAAUAACCCGCCUAACAUGGAAGAUACGGACAACCCUAGUUGAUACAUGAGCUAUUCGAGCAUGCAAAAUAGAAUGUUUAUUUGAAGGUUUAGAGUUUGGCACAUACAAAUUUACUUGGAACGGCAGGUAGAUACCGUAUAUAGGUAGGUAUGGUGGACUCAUAUGGAAUAACUUUGGGGUUUAUGGAAUUGUAUGCACAAGCAGUAUUCCCGCUUAGUACAAGUGAAGGCUAGCAAAAGGCUGGGAAGCGACCAGCUAGAGUGCAACAACAGUCAUGAACAUGCAUUAAAAUUAAUCAACACCGAAUGCAAUCAUGAGUAGGAUAUAGUGCACCAUGAACAUAAAUAUCAUAGAGGCUAUGUUGAUUUUGUUUCAACUACAUGCGUGAACAUGUGCCAACUCAAGCCACUCGAAACAUUCAGAAGAGGAUACCACCCUAUCAUACCACAUCACAACCAUUUUAAUAGCAUGUUGGCACGCAAGGUAAACCAUUAUAAGCUCCUAGCUAAUUAAGCAAGGCAUAAGCAACUAUAAUCUCUAAUUGUCAUUGCAAACAUGUUUAUUCAUAAUAGGCUGAAUCAAGAACGAUGAACUAAUCAUAUUUAAAAAACAAGAGAAUUUGAGUUCAUACCAGCUUUUCUCAUCUCAAUAAGUUCAUCAUAUAAUCAUCAUUAUUGCCUUUCACUUGCACGACCGAACGAUGUGAAUAAUAAUAAUAGUGCACAUGCAUUGGACUAAGCUAGAAUCUGCAAGCAUUCAAUUCAGGAGAGAAGACAAGGUAAUAUGGGCUAUUUGUUAGAUCAAUCAAUAAUGCAUAUAAGAGCCACUUUAACAUUUUAAUUAUGGUCUUCUCCUCUCGACCCCAAAGAAAAUAAAUAAAACUAUUUACACGAGAAAGCUCCCAACAAUCAAAAAGAAGAACGAGAAAUCUUUUUAGGUUUUCUUUUUAGUUAUUACUACUACAACAUGAAAAGUAACUAAUUAAAAUCUACAACUAAUUUUUUUGUUUUUCUUAAGGUUUAUUAAACACAUAAGAAGAAAGCAUAAAAAGGAAAUUAAACUAGCAUGGAUGAUACAAUGAAAAAGUAUGAGCACCGACAACUAGCAUGAGUGUGUGAACAUGAAUGUAAUGUUGGUGAGAAAUACGUACUCCCCCAAGCUUAGGCUUUUGGCCUAAGUUGGUCUAUGGCCACGGCUGGCCUGGUGGAUAUCCAAAGUUAUAGCCGGGGUCGUACUGAGAUGCAACAGCUAUUGCCUCAUGAGCUGCCACUUGGAGACGGGCCGUCUCCGCCCUCCUCUUAUACUUGUCCGCCUCCUCCCUGGUUAUAACAUAUCUCCCUUUUGCCUGAGAGUCAAAGAAAGCAGGAGCAGGGAGAGCGACGUGAUAGGUGCGUCGUCUGCCAAAGAUUAGUCGGUACCGGAGGAACUGAUCGUUCCUCUCAACAAACUGAUGACGAACCAUGGCCUCAUAAUCUAAAUAAAUAGGAGGCAACUCAAUAUCAUACCCACGUAUGGGUAUAUCAAGAAAAUUAGCUAGACGGGUUGCAUAAAUUCCACCAAAAAAUCUCCAUUAAAUCUAUUAUUAUGAAACCUAUGUGCAACAAUGGCUACCAAAUUAUAAUGUUUAUCUCCUAAUACAGCACUCCUGAGAACACUGAGGUCAGGGACACACAUGUGACAUGCUUCAUCCUUACCAUUUUUGCACCUACCUAUGAAGAGAGCAAAAUAAUGUAUAGCAGGAAAAUGAAUGCUCCCUAUGGUAGCUUGUGUUAUAUCUCUAGAUUCCCCCACAGUUAUACUAGCAAGAAAAUCUCUAAACUCAGAUUUGCGAGGCUCACUAGUGCUGCCCCAUUGUGGAAGUUUGCAAGUAGUAUUAAAAUCCUCUAAGUCCAUAGUAUAAGAAUUUUCAUAAAGAUCGAAUAGGACAGUUUGAGAAUUACGUGAUGAUGAAAAUUCAAACCUUCUCACAAAGGAAUCAGUGAGAUAGUGGUAUUGGUGGCACUUAUCUGCCUCAAAGCUCUCAAGAUCGGCAUUACGCACAUACGCGUUAAAUUCUUCAUUGAUUCCUGCUCGAUCCAUAAAGUCCUCUGACGGACAUUCACAAGCCCGCACCUGAGCUUCCCUCGGUGGUUCAUCAUCGGCAUCGCGUAUUGCGAGCCUGGGUCAUUGCAUCCUUGAAGAACCACCUUGGUACAUUUUUCUAAACAUAUUUCUUCCUCUGAAAAAUUUCUGAAAUUUUAGUAACUUCAAAAUAAAAGUGAACCAAACUCAACAAAAUUGAUAGCAACUACUCCCACAAGUGCCUAGAGACUAUAUCAUGCAUCAAAACUACUUUUGACCAUAUAAAUUUGACAUGCAAGCUCAAGAACAGGGUCACCUAAGCAGCAAAAAUAUGCAAUGAAUAAAGCACUAGAACAAAAACUAAUUGGACCAUUGGAGGAGUCACAUACCAAGGAACAAUCCCCCAAAGCAGUUUUGUUAGAGGUGCUUUGAGCAAGGAGAUUGAAAAUGGCAGCAAGAUGAGCUUGGACUCGGGUUUGAGCUGGCUAGUCGUGUUUGUGGGAGGAAGAAGGAGUGUGUGGUAGCUGGAAUAAGUGGAGGGGAGUCACCAUGGGCCCACGAGGCAGGGGGUGCACCCUCCACCCUCGUGGCCAGGUGCUUGCUCCCCCUGCUGUGUUUUCAGUGCCAGAUAUUCUCAAAUAUUCUAGAAAAAAUCAUAUUUAAUUUUCAGGGCAUUUGGAUAAUUUUUAUUUUUGGGGUAUUUUUUAUUGCAUGUAUAAUUCAGAAACACACAUAAAUUACUAUUUUUGCUUUAUUUAAUAUAAAUAACAGAAAGUAAAAAGAGGGUACACAGAGUUGUGUUUUCUAAAUUCAUCCAUCUCAUGCUCAUCAAAAGGAAUCCACUAACAAGGUUGAUCAGGUCUUGUUAACAAACUCAUUCCGAAUAACAUGGAACAGGAGAAUUUUCGAAUAACACUAGGUUACCUCAACGGGGAUAUGCAUGUCCCAACAAUAAUAAUAUCAUAUUUCUUCUUGACAGUAGGAAGAGGAAAUUCAAAACCUCCAAUAGUAAUAGUUGAAAUUUUUUCAAUAGAAUUGAUACUGUGGACUUGAGGUUGUUUCCUCGGAAAGUGUACCGUAUGCUCAUUACCAUUAACAUGAAAAGUGACAUUGCCUUUGGUGCAAUCAAUAACAGUCCCUGCAUUAUUCAAAAAGGGUCUUCCAAGAAUAAUAGACAUACUAUCGUCCUCAGGAAUAUCAAGAAUAACAAAGUCCGUUAAAAUAGUAACGUUUGCAACCACAACAGGCGCAUCCUCACAAAUACCGACAGGUAUAGCAGUUGAUUUAUCGGCCAUUUUCAAAGAUAUUUCAGUAGGUGUCAACUUAUUCAAAUCAAGUCUACGAUAUAAAGAGAGAGGCAUAACACUAACACCGGCUCCAAGAUCACAUAAAGCAGUUUUAACAUAGUUUCUUUUAAUGGAGCAUGGUAUAGUUGGUACUCCCGGAUCUCCAUGUUUCUUUGGUAUUCCACCCUUAAAAGUAUAAUUAGCAAGCAUGAUGGAAAUUUCAGCUUCCGGUAUCUUUCUUUUAUUUGUCACAAUUUCUUUCAUAUACUCAGCAUAAGGAUUCAUUUUGAGCAUAUCAGUUAAUCGCAUACGCAAAAAGAUAUGUCUAAUCAUUUCAGCAAAGCGCUCAAAAUUCUCAUCAUCCUUUUUCUUGGAUGGUUUGGGAGGAAAAGGCAUGGGUUUCUGAACCCAUGGUUCUCUCUCCUUACCGUGCUUCCUAGCAACAAAGUCUCUCUUAUCAUAAUGUUGAUUCUUUGAUUGUGGGUUAUCAAGAUCAACAACAGGUUCAAUCUCUACAUCAUUGUCACUACUAGGUUGUGCAUCAACAUGAACAUCAUCGUUAACAUUAUUACUAGGUUCAUGUUCAUUACCAGAUUGUAUUUCAGUAUCAGAAAUAGAAAUAUCAUUGGGAUUCUCAGGUGUGUCUACAACAGGUUCACUAGAAGCAUGCAAAGUCCUAUCAUUUUUCUUUUUCUUCUUCUUAGAAGGACUAGGUGCAUCUACAUUAUUUCUCUGAGAAUCUUGCUCAAUUCUCUAGGAUGGCCCUCAGGAUACAAAGGUUCCUGAGUCAUUUUACCACCUCUAGUCAUAACUCUAACAGUAUUAUCAUUCUUAUUAUUUAAUUCAUUGAGCAAAUCAUUCUGAGCUUUAAGUACUUGUUCUACUUGAGUGGUAACCAUAGAAGCAUGUUACUAAUAAGUUUUAGUUCACCUUUAACAUUAGCCAUAUAAUCACUCAAGUGUUCAAUCAUAUAAGCAUUAUGUUUCAAUUGUCUACCAACAUAAGCAUUGAAAUCUUCUUACUUAAUCAUAAAGUUAUCAAACUCAUCUAAGCAUUGGCUAGCAAACUUAGUAAGAGGGAUUUUAGCUUUAUCAUAUCUAUAGAGAGAAUUUACCUUUACUACCUGUGUCGGGUUAUCAAGACCAUGAGUUUCUUCAAUUGGUGAUGGAUUAAAACCAUGUAUUUCUUCAACAGGCGGUAAACUAAGACCAUGUAUUUCUUCAAUAGGAGGUAAAUUCUUAACAUCUUCAGCUUGUAUACAUUUUCCUUCAUAUAUUUCUUUGCCUCUUGCAUAUCUUCAGGACUGAGAAAUAGAACGCCCCUUUUCUUCGGAGUUGGCUUAGGAGUUGGCUCAGGAAGUGUCCAAUUAUUUUCAUUAGUCAACAUAUUAUUCAAUAGAAUUUCAACUUCAUUUGGUAUUCUUUCCCUGAAAACACAACCAACAUAACUAUCCAGGUGGUCUCUGGAAGCAUCGGUUAGUCCAUUAUAAAAGAUAUCAAGUAUUUCAUUUUUCUUAAGAGGAUGAUCAGGCAAAGCAUUAAGUAAUUGGAGAAGCCUCCCCCAAGCUUGUAGGAGACUCUCUUCUUCAAUUUGCACAAAAUUAUAUAUUUCCCUUAAAGCAGAUUGUUUCUUAUGAGCGGGGAAAUAUUUAGCAGAGAAGUAAUAAAUCAUAUCCUGGGGACUACGCACACAACGAGGAUCAAGAGAAUUAAACCAUGUCUUAGCAUCACCCUCUAAUGAGAAUGAAAAUAUCUUAAGGAUAUAAUAGUAGCGAGUUUUCUCAUCAUUAGUGAACAGGGUAGCUAUAUCAUUUAAUUUAGUAAGAUGUGCCACAACAGUUUCAGAUUCAUAGCCAUGGAAAGGAUCAAAUUCAACUAAAGUAAUUAUCUUAGGGUCGACAGAGAAUUCAUAAUCCUUAUCAGUAACAAAGAUAGGUGAAGUAGCAUAAGCAUGAUCGUAUUUCAUUCUAGCAUUCAGAGUUUUUGUUUCAGCUUAGCUAAUAAUUUCUUAAGAUCACUCCUAUCAUUGCAAGUAAGAAAAUCUCUAGAAGUUUCUUCAUCCAUAACAUAGCCCUCAGGCACAACAGGUAAUUCGUAUCUAGGGGGAGAAUCUUCAUAAUCACUUUCAUCAAUAUUAUCAGUUUCAAUAAUUUCAUUCUCUCUAGCCCUAGCAAGUUGUUCAUCAAGAAAUUCACCAAGUGGCAUAGUAGUAUCAAGCAUAGAAGUAGUUUCAUCAUAAGUAUCAUGCAUAGCAGAAGUGGCAUCAUCAAUAACAUGCGACAUAUCAGAAUUAAUAGCAGAAGCAGGUUUAGGCGUCGCAAGUGUCGGUGUCAAAACCGGUAGAUCUUGGGUAGGGGGUCCUGAACUAUGCGUCUAGGAUCGAUGGUAAUAGGAGGCAGGUGACACAAUGUUUACCCAGGUUCGGGCCCUCUCUAUGGAGGUAAUACCCUACGUCAUGCUUGAUUGAUAUUGAUGAAUAUGGGUGUUACAAGAGUUGAUCUACCAUGAGAUCGUAAUGGCUAAACCCUAGAAGCCUAGCCUAUAUUACUAUGGUAAUGAAUAUAUCCUUUCCAGACUAACCCCUCCGGUUUAUAUAGACACCGGGGGGAUCUAGAGUUUACAUAGAGUCGGUUACAUAGGAAGGAAUCUUCAUAGUCGGUCGCCAAGCUUGCCUUCGACGCCAAGGAGAGUCCAAUCCGGACUCAGGUACAGUCUUCGGCCUUCAUGUCUUCACAGCCCAUCAGUCCGGCCCAAUAGAUAAUAGGCCGGACGCCCGAGGACCCCUUAGUCCAGGACUCCCUCAGCAAGCUUACUCAAAACAGAAGGUGAAUCAAGUGCAGAGCUAGAUGGCAGUUCCUUACCUCCCCUCGUAGUUGAGGGAUAAAUGUUGGUUCUUGGAUCUUUCAAGUUCUUCAUAAUGAUAAGUAGAUAUAAAUCCCAAGUGACUAAAGAAUAGAGCUAUUCUCCCCGGCAACGGCGCCAGAAAAUAGUCUUGAUAACCCACAAGUAUAGGGGAUCACAACAAUUUUUGAGGGUAGAGUAUUCAACCCAAAUUUAUUGAUUCGACACAAGGGGAGCCAAAUAAUAUUCUCAAGUAUUAGCAGCUGAGUUGUCAAUUCAACCACACCUGGAAACUUAAUAUCUGCAGCAAGGUAUUUAGUAGCAAAGUAAUAUGAUAGUAAUGGUAACAGUGGUAAAAGGUAACGGUAGCAAAAGUAAUAUUUUUGGUGUUUUAUAGUGAUGAUAAUAGUAGCAACGGAAAAGUAAAUAAGCGAAGAACAAUAUAUGGAAAGCUCGUAGGCAAUGGAUCGGUGAUAGAGAAUUAUGCCGGAUGCAGUUCAUCAUGUAACAGUCAUAACCUAGGGUGACACAGAAUUAGCUCUAGUUCAUCAAUGUAAUGUAGGCAUGUAUUCCGAAUAUAGUCAUACGUGCUUAUGGAAAAGAACUUGCAUGGCAUCUUUUGUCCUACCCUCCAGUGGCAGUGGGGUCCUAUUGGAAACUAAGGGAUAUUAAUGCCUCCUUUUAAUAGAGUACCGGACCAAAGCAUUAACACAUAGUGAAUACAUGAACUCCUCAAACUAUGGUCAUCACCGGUAAGUAUCCCGAUUAUUGUCACUUCGGGGUUAACGGAUCAUAACACAUAAUAGGUGACUAUAGACUUGCAAGAUAAGAUCAAGAACACUCAUAUAUUGAUGAAAACAUAAUAGGUUCAGAUAUGAAAUCAUGGCACUCGGGCCCUAGUGACAAGCAUUAAGCAUAGCAAAGCCAUAGCAACAUCAAUCUCAGAACAUAGUGGAUACUUGGGAUCAAACCCUAACAAAACUAACUCGAUUACAUGAUAAAUAUCAUCCAACCCAUCACCGUCCAGCAAGCCUACGAUGGAAUUACUCACGCACGGUGGUGAGCAUAAUGAAAUUGGUGAUGGAGGAUGGUUGAUGAUGACGAUGGCGACGGUUUCCCCUCUCCAGAGCCCCGAACGGACUCCCGAUCAGCCCUCCCGAGAGAGUUUAGGGCUUGGCAGCGGCUCUGUAUCAUAAAACACGAUGAAUCCGUCUCUCUAGUUUUUUCUCCCCGAAAGUGAAUAUAUGGAGUCAAGGUUGAGGUCAGUGGAGCGUCAGGGGGCCCAUGAGGCAGGGGGGUGCCCAGGGGGGCAGGCGCGCCCCCACCCUCGUGGACAGGUGGAGGCCCCCCUGACGUGGAUCUUCCUUCCAGUAUUUUCUAUAUAUUCCAAAAUAAUUCUCCAUUGAUUUUCGGUCAUUCCGAGAACUUUUAUUUCUGCACAAAAGUAACCCCAUGGCAAUUCUGCUGAAAACAACGUCAGUCCGGGUUAGUUCCAUUCAAAUCAUGCAAGUUAGAGUCCAAAACAAGGGCGAAAGUGUUUGGAAAAGUAGAUACGACGAAGACGUAUCAGGAAUCUUAGCAAAAACUUCUUCUCUCCCAAAUCCCAAAUCUGCCAUGGCCAUUCUUCGUUCUUGCAAAACACCCCAUUAAGCUGGAUCAGUAACUCUGAGGCAGACACCUCUCCCUUAACCACUUUGAGCACAUCAUAGUUUUUGUAGUUGAGCCAACUUGAUUUUGAUGCCGUGGGCACAUCGAUGUGGUAAAACCCUAGCCUAGACGCUGCACUACCAGAAUAAGUUGCUGUAGGGUGAGGUUUUGCCCAGGUAGCACAAUUAUUGACAUCGUGCCCCCUCGCACAAAUAAAACACUUCUUCGGUUCGAUGCAAUUCCCCACAUAGUGUCCUAGCCAGCUACAAUUGAAACAGGUCAUCCCUUUGUAUUUGGGAUCUAGAGCUUGUACCACAGGAACAGGAGGAAGAGGUGGAACUGGUGCCCCAGGGCCAGCCGCUUGUUGCUGCAUAUUUCCUCGGCUCGCCUGCUUGGGAGGUUGCUGCGCAGGCUUAGCAGCACCUCCUACAACCGGGGCAGCACCUCCUGCAACCAGGGCAACCACCUUCCCAUCCUGCGAAGCAGCCUUCUUCCCUGGCGGCGGCUGGCGCUGCCGUUGCCCACCUGGUCCACGAUCUCUCCCUCCCUUGACCACUUCCACAAACGAUCUAGGAAACCCUAGCCCCUCGGUGGAGAUUUUGAAGAUGGUAGGAGUAGGGUCAAAUCUGCCCACCGAUGAUACUGGAAAACAAUCUUGGGCUGUGAAUUUUCUAGCGCUGAACAAAUCUUUUCUCACCCAAAACAAUUUGGGGAUAGCGAAUUUAGGUUUUGGUGGUGCCUGCCUCUCAAUAUGUAGGCACUUGCGGCGGCUCGGGGAGGGGAUCACCCAAAGUUGCCCCAAAAAAUGUGCCACCUCUUCUCCGUCCCCGCUAAAUGGCUUGGAAGACGUCUUUCUACAGCCCGCCUUCUUCCUGACCACACGACCCACAAUCAACGGUGAUGGGGUUGGGGUCGGACCCGCCAGUGGGACCCUAGAGUUCGAACCCAAUCCCACCCCACUCGCAGAAGCGAGCUCACCGACGCCGAGUUGGCUCGUCAGACCCGGAGAUUUACAAAAAUCUCUCAUCGAUCUAGGGAAAUUAGGUGAGGAAUCAUGCACAAUCUUAUAGGGGAUAACCCUCUCAACCACAUCAACCAAAUUGCCACUCAAAUCACCACGGGAACUCACAAGAGGACGAGGUUUGGUCUGGAAUUUGCUCACCUUGUCAGGAAGAUGCCGGAUCUCUGCGCGGUCACCUGACCAUGGUGGAGGGUCAAGAUAGCGCGCCUCGCCUCUCCCGCGCCUUGCCAAAAGGAUGGGGUAGUCCUGCGAGGCAUGCACGCCGGGCUCCCCCCGAUUCAGGGGAUCCUGGGCAGGACGGUUCCCGGCGUCAGGAACUCUGGUGGUAUGUUGGCGAUCUGCACCACCGCCGGGGGUCGGAUGUUGAGCCUUGACGGAUUCCUUGUCUCGAAUUGCGACCACUUCGCCGCCUACCUCAGAUCCGCCAACUCCGCCUGUUGAAUGGCCCAAAAUAUGAGCUUGUAGUCCAUUCCCCCAUCAUCGCCGGUGAACCGCGCGUGCUCCUCGAACAUCGUGUGUUGGAUGACCUCCACGAGGGUCGCUGGCCAGGUGGAGCGGUUCAGGAAGCGUUCAAUCAGCACCCGAAUCAUCUUCGCAUGCACCUCCGGCGUCCCCCGCUCGGUCAUCGGCAACUGCGACACCGGCAUCGACGGCUGGGACACCAUCGGCGUAGCCACCUGGUGGCUGGGCCGCACCCUUCGUGCCCUCGCUCCCCUUCUCGCACCCCCACCAUCUCUAGCACUUGACUGGGCCAUGGGAUCCGACGAAAAGUGGCCGCCAGGGGAGAGAUGUGUUCGGGCAGGAUGAGAGGAGGGGCUAGAUAAGCUCGCGCUACCAUUAACAACGGUGGUUGCGGCACCAUUAGUCUCGUUAGGUGAGGCGGAGGGCGCCAUCUAUACACCCAUCUAUUCAUGGACAGAAUCCUUGAUCCCAACAGCACCCACAACUUUCAAAAUUUCCCCAGAAAAUUAAGAUACCUAGCGAUGCUGAAUUUUCUUGACGGUGUGAACUGCCUUAGCUUUCUAUCACUUUCUAUGCCCCAUGUUCUAUUUACGUCUGCUAACUCUCAGUCUGAUAAACCUGCUACUGGUAGGUUUUGUUCAUGACUGUAUGUCUAUGUACUUUCUGUCAGUUGGAGUAUAUUAUCCUUGGUGAUACUAAUGUUUCUGCCUUUCAACGUGAAAAUGAAGUUAUCUUUAGCAGUCGCAACAACCUAGGGGAGCACCGACAUUUUGUGGGAGUGGCAAACAGAUCAUAGGCCAUAUAAAGCACCAUUAAAUCUAAACACGUCUAUUCUAUUUCAGAAGUAGACCGGUUUGUUAGUUUCACCUGUCAUGGUUUCUUGCACAACUAUAAAAAACACUCAUUUGCAUACAACAAGACACCAGAGAUAUAGUUUAAUUGGCUUCUUGCGCCAUACAGACGCAUCUCGUAUAACCAAACUGAGCCACAAAGCAGAUUUUUCAUGAGGUGAAAAAUAUUCGUCCAUACAAAUUCAUCAUUAUACAAGUAGGUGAAGGAAUGAAAAUAGGAAGAAAAAAGUGUUGGCCGACCUCAACAGUCUACUUAUUACUGCUUGGAGGGGUCGAGGACGUGCCCCGCAAAGACAACAGCUCUGGUCGCCUCCUCCACUAUGUAGUAGGCAAACGGAUGGUCAGUGAUGAAAUCCACGCGUGGAGGUGAUGGCAUUGCGCAUCCAAGACCCUGGACGACCAUGGUGGCAGUGGCGGCUUCAGUCCCUUCCUCGUUUACCUCGACGAUGGCCUUGUGGAUGAAAUCAUCCACCACUAUCCGCAAGCCAGAGCCAUCAUCCUCCCCAUGUCCGACAGGUUGCCCUGCUUGCAGAACAGGAGCUCAAGCCCAAGCUUCUUGAGGACGGUGACAACGCUGCUGUGGAAGGACAACUUGAACUUUGGCAUCCAGAAUUCGCGGAGAGCAAUUUGUUGCUCAAGCAGGUGGUCGUGCAGGAACCUAGGCCGGGACGCCAUCGUGCCUAGCAGCCCCCACAGGCCAUCAUGGGCAACCGGGAGGAAGAUGCACAUGGAGAACUGCGUGUGCCCGGUACGAUUGGAGCCGGAGUGCACCCACAGAGCAGCACCCUGGGAUGGGUAGGCAUUGCCUGCCCACGGAUCAAGCACGUAGCGGUUUCCAAAUGCAUUAUGGCAGGGGAAAUAGGGUUUAUGAGGGUGGCCAGUCGGACCAACACGACCAAAUGGAACCUGGAGGGCAUAUGGUGGAUUAGGAGGGUAGCCAAACCGACCAAGUGCACCAUAUGGAUAUGGCCUAGGAUGGGUGUACGGAGAGAAGGGGAUGCUGGCCUAGGGAGGGGGGUCGUGACGACGAUGACGAAAGUAUGGUGGGGGUCCCGUGGGAAGAUAAUUUGGAGAUGGACCCCCAUCGUUGUACGCAUCACUCACAUGGCAAUGGACAUAGGGAGCACCAUGGCCGUGGACGCCAUGGUGACCAUGGCCCAAAGGAGGAGGGGGCGCCUGUUCCAGUGUGGUGCCCUCGUGAUCUGGCGUCGUCAUCUUGUACCGGAGUUUGAGCACCUUGAACCCAUCAUGCAUGGCGACGAACCGCGGCUUCCAACUCUGCAUGAACCACAUGUUAACUUGGCUGCAGUCGAGCCGGCAGAAGGGUUUGUGCGCGGUGUGCCUCCUGUCGAAUGACCGGUCCUCCCACUUGCCCUUAGCGUACAUGGCGUUGCCGAGCACGACCCGAGUCGUCGUCGGAUAUAUCGAUCUAGGGGGAGGACGGAGUCGAUGAGGUUCCUCGUCACCUGAGCCGCCCACGCGUUGAUCUGGUGGCGCGCUUCCUCCGGCGUGCCGCAGAAGUUGAUGGUGCUCGCCUCGGCCUUGUACGUGCCCACAACGGCUAAGCGGAAGGCCAGCUUCAGCGGCCGCGUCAGGUCGCUCCACACGCCACAUGCGGACGCCGUAAGGGGACCGCCUGAGGCCGACCUGUCUUGGAGCACGCCCGCCGCCAUGCGAGACAUGAAGUUCUCGAGCUCGUCGUGUGUCCGCACACCGAGGACGCGUAGGAUCUCGUCCAGUGUGGCAUCCCUGGCGCCGGUGGCCAGGAGCAACAGGGCUGUGGAGAUGGACAUUGGCGAGAAGAUUAGGUUGUCAUUCAUGCUCCCCUCGGUGAGGCACCUCGCGAGCCCGGCGGCGACCGCUGCCAGGCCGCCAGAGCCAGAACUCCCCAUCGAUGCUACUACAUUGGACUGCUGAUAACCCACAAGUAUAGGGGAUCACAACAGUUUUCGAUAACUAAGAGUGUCGAACCCAACGAGGAGCUAAAGGUAGAACAAAUAUUCCCUCAAGUUCUAUCGACCACCGAUACAACUCUACGCACACUUGACUUUCGCUUUACCUAGAACAAGUAUGAAACUAGAAGUAUUUUGUAGAUGUUGUUGGAUAGGUUUGCAAGGUAAUAAAGAGCAUGUAAAUAAAAAGUAGGGGAUGUUUAGAUAAAGACACAACUAAGUUAGUUUUAGUAAAGAGCUUUUUGUUACGAGAAAGUUAUUUGUCCCUAGGAAAUCGAUAACUAGACCGGUAAUCAUUAUUGCAAUUUUAUUUGAGGGAGAGGCAUAAGCGAACACACUUUCUCUACUUGGAUCAUAUGCACUUAUGAUUGGAACUAUAGCAAGCAUCCGCAACUACUAAAGAUCAUUAAGGUAAAACCCAACCAUAGCAUUAAAGUAUCAAGUCCUCUUUAUCCCAUAAGCAAACAACCUACUUACUCGGGUAUGUGCUUCUAUCACUCACGCCACCCACCAUAAGCAAAUCAUGAACAUAUUGCAAACUCUACAGCGGGAAUCCCUCACGCUUGCGCGACACAGAGAGCACCAUAGGACAACACCAAUAAUAAAACAUGCAACUCAAACCAAUCACAAUCAUCAAUUAACCCAUAGGACACAACAGAUCUACUCAAACAUCAUACGAUAGCCAUACAUCAUUGGGAAAUAAUAUAUAGCGUUGAGCACCAUGUUUAAGUAGAGAUUACAAUGGGUAAGAGAGAGGUUACACCGCUGCAUAGAGGGGGGAAGAGUUGGUGAUGAUGGCGGUGAAGUUGUUGGUGAAGAUUGCGGUGAUGAUGAUGGCCCACGGUGGCACUCCGGCGCCACCGGAAGCGAGGGGGAGAGAGCCCCCCUCCUUCUUGUUCUUCCUUGACCUUCUCCCUAGAUGGGAGAAGGGUUUCCCCUCUGGUCCUUGGUCUCCAUGGCGUGGGAGGGGCGAGAGCCCCUCCGGGAUUGGAUCUGUCUCUCUGUCUCUCUCUGUGUCUGCGUUCUCAGAUUCUGUCCUUUCACCGUUUCUUAUAUUCCCAGAGAUCCGUAACUCCGAUUGGGCUGGAAUUUUAACACAAUCUCUAUCCGGAUAUUAGCUUUCUUGCGACGAAAGAAGGGCAUCAACCGCCUUACAGGGUGGCCACGAGGGUCAGGGGCGCACCUAGGGGGGUGGGGCGCGCCCCCCUGCCUCGUGCCUCCCUCGGGCACCGUCUCGCGUGGAUUUUUCUUCCCCAAAAUCAUAAAUAUUCCAAAAAAAAUCUCUGUCAGUUUUUAUCCCGUUUGGACUCCGUUUGAUAUGGAUAUUCUGCGAAACAAAAAACAUGCAACAAACAGGAACUGGCACUGGGCACUUGAUCAAUAUGUUAGUCCCAAAAAUAGUAUAAAAAGUUGCCAAAAGUAUAUGAAAGUUGUAGAAUAUUGGCAUGGAACAAUAAAAAAUUAUAGAUACGACGGAGACGUAUCAGCAUCCCCAAGCUUAAUUCCCGCUCGUCCUCGAGUAGGUAAAUGAUAAAAAAGACAAUUUUUGAUAUGGAAUGCUACCUAGCAUAAUCUUGAUCACAUAUCUAAUCAUGGCAUGAAUAUUAAGACACGAGUGAUUCAAAGCAAUAGUCUAUCAUUUGACAUUAAGAUAAUAAUACUUCAAGCAUACUAAUAAAGCAAUCUUGUAUUUUCAAAAUAACAUGGCCAAAGAAAGUUAUCCCUACAAAAUCAUAUAGUCUGGCUAUUCUCCAUCUUCACCACACAAAAUAUUCAAAUCAUGCACAAACCCGAUGACAAGCCAAGCAAUUGUUUCAUACUUUUGAUGUUCUCAAACCUUUUCAACUUUCACAUAAUACAUGAGCGUGAGCCAUGGACAUAUCUCUAUGGGUGGAAUAGAAUGGUGGUUGCGGAGAAGACAAAAAGGAGAAGAUAGUCUCACAUCAACUAGGCGUAUCAACGGGCUAUGGAGGUGCCCAUCAAUAGAUAUCAAUAUGAGUGAGUAGGGAUUGCCAUGCAACGAAUGCACUAAGAGCUAUAAGUGUAUGAAAGCUCAGACUGAAAACUAAGUGGGUGUGCAUCCAACUUGCUUGCUCAUGAAGACCUCGGGCGUUUGAGGAAGCCCAUCAUCGGAAUAUACAAUCCAAGUUUUAUAAUGAAAAUUCCCACUAGUAUAUGAAAGUGAUAACUCAAGAGUCUCUCUAUAUGAAAAACAUGGUGCCGCUCUGAAGCACAAGUGUGGUAAAAGGAUAGUAACAUUGCCCCUUCUCUUUUUUUCUCUCAUUUUUUGUUUUUUUGUUUUUUUGGUGGGCUUCUUUGGCCUCUUUUUUUAUUUGGGCUUCUUUGGCCUCUUUUAUUUAUUUUUAAAGUCCGGAGUCUCAUCCCGACUUGUGGGGGAAUCAUAGUCUCCAUCAUACUUUCCUCACUGGGGCAAUGCUCUAAUAAUGAUGAUCAUCACACUUUUAUUUACUUACAACUCAAUAUUACAACUCGAUACUAGAACAAAGAUAUGACUCUAUAUGAAUGCCUCCGGCGGUGCAUCGGGCUGUGCGAUGAUCUAGCGUAGCAAUGACAUAAAAAAACGGACAAGCCGUGAAAACAUCAUGCUAGCUAUCUUACGAUCAUGCAAAGCAAUAUGACAAUGAUGCUCAAGUCAUGUAUAUGAUGAUGAUGGAAGUUGCAUGGCAAUAUAUCUCGGAAUGGCUAUGGAAAUGCCAUGAUAGGUAGGUAUGGUGGCUGUUUUGAGGAAGGUAUAUGGUGGGUUUAAGGUACCAGCGAAAGUUGCGUGAUACUAGAGAGGCUAGCAAUGAUGGAAGUGUGAGAGUGUGUAUGAUCCAUGGACUCAACAUUAGUCGUAAAUAACUCACAUACUUAUUGCAAAAAUCUAUUAGUCAUCGAAACAAAGUACUACGAGCAUGCUCCUAGGGGGAUAGAUUGGUAGGAAAAAAGACCAUCGCUCGUCCCCGACCACCACUCAUAAGGAAGAUAAUCAAUAAAUACCUCAUGCUCCGACUUCAUCACAUAACGGUUCACCAUACGUGCAUGCUACGGGAAUCACAAACUUCAACACAAGUAUUUCUACAAUCCACAACUACCCACUAGCAUGACUCUAAUAUCACCAUCUUUAUAUCGCAAAACUAUUACAAGGAAUCAAACAUAUCAUAUUCAGUGAUCUACAAGUUUUAUGUAGGAUUUUAUGACUAACCAUGUGAAUGACCAAUUCUUGUCAUCUCUCUAAAUAUAUAUAAGUGAAGCAAGAGAGUUUAAUUCUUUCUACAAAAGAUAUGACCAUGCUCUAACAAAUAUAAGUGAAGCAAAAGAGCAUUCUACAAAUGGCGGUUUUCUAUGUAAAGAGAAACAUGCAAUCCAAACUUCAAAUGAUAUAAGUGAAGCACAUGAAGCAUUCUAUAAAUCAACCAAGGACUAUCUCAUACCAGCAUGGUGCAUAAAAGAAAAGUGAAAACUAAAUGCAAAAGACGCUCCAAGAUUGCACAUAUCGCAUGAACGAAACGAAUCCGAAAACAUACUGAUACUUGUUGAAGAAAGAGGGGAUGCCUUCCGGGGCAUCCCCAAGCUUAGACACUUGAGUCUCCUUGAAUAUUUAAUUGGGGUGCCUCGGUCAUCCCCUAUCUUGAGCUCUUGCCUCUCUUCCUUCCUCUCAUAUCGAGACCUUCUCGAUCAUCGAACACUUCAUCCACACAAAAUUUCAACAGAAAACUCGGUAAGAUCCGUUAGUAUAAUAAAGCAAAUCACUACUCUAAGUACUGUUUAAAACCAAUUCAUAUUUUGUUUUAGCAUUGUAGCUACUGUAGUAUAACUUUUUCAUGGCUUAAUCCACUGAUUUAAAUCGAUAGUUUCAUCAAAACAAGCAAACUAUGCAUCAAAAACAGAAUCUGUCUAAAACAUAACAGUCUGUAAUAAUCUGAACAUUCACCAUUCCUAUGGUACUCCAAAAAUUCUACCAAAAUUAGGAAAAAUAAAAAAUUUGUAUAGAAAGACAGUGCAAAAAAUUUCAGAACCAUUUGGCGGUCGAGCAAAAAAUGUAAAAUCGCGCGCUACAGCCAAAGUUUCUGUCCUACACCGCACAAACCAACAAGCAAUGUAAACAUCCUAAAGGCAAACCUUGGCACAUUAUUUUUAUUUUUAAACUUUAUAAAAGCACACAACAGAAAUAAAUGACUCUCUAAAACUUCCGGGUUGUCUCCCUAGCAGCGCUUUUUUUAAAGCCAUUAAGCUAGGCAUAUAGUGCUCAAGUAAUGGAUCCACCCGAAUCCCAAGGUAUAUCAAAGCCAAUUUUAAUUAGCAAUGAUUUGUAAUUUAGUAGUGAGCACAAAGUAACAUAUAUCAUGCAACAACGAAGUCUAACUCUUCCUAUGCAUCGGCAUGUCAUAAAAGAACAAUUCAUGCACACACAGUAAAGGCCAAUGCAUAGUAUAAACAGUUUCUUACAAUUUUAUCGUAUUGGAAACAUAAAGAGGUGGAUAUAUAGUUCCUCUCUCAUAAUAAUUGCAAGUAGGAGCAGCAAGCACAUGCAUAUUAUAUUCAUCAAAAUCAUCAUGUGUAAUAGUAAAAUGCAACCCAUCAAUAUAAUCCUUAAUAAGUGCAAACUUCUCCGAUAUAGUGUAGUUGGGAGAAUUCAAAAAGAUAAUAGGACUAUCAUGCGUGGGUGCAAUAGCAACAAUUUCAUGUUUAACAUAAGGAACUAUAGCAAGUUCAUCUCCAUGAGCAUAAUUCAUAUUGGCAUCUUGGCCACAAGCAUAACAAGCAUCAUCAAAAGGGAUGUUUCAAGAGAAUCAACGGGAUCAUAACAAUCAUCAUAGCAAUCAUCCUUCGGUAAGCACGAAGGGAGUUUAAAUAAUGUAUGAGUUGAAGAGUUACUCUCAUUAGAAGGUGGGCACGGGUAGCUAAUCCGCUCUUCCUCCUUUUGUUCUUCGCUCUCCUCAUCAUCUUUUUAUCCAAUGAGCUCACAAUUUCAUCAAUUUCUUCUUCCAUAGACCCCUACAAAAUAUUAAUCUCUUCUUGGACAGCGGAGGAGACCUCGAUAUAUGGUUUAACAUAGGCAUUAGACGCAUAAUUCUCAUAACAAUAUUCAAGUAUGGCAAGAUUUUCAAAUUUGUAAAGAGUGGCAUCAUACUUUUCAAUCAAAGAAGCAAUUUCAUAAGCACCCUUAAAAGCAACAAAUUCUUCAAUUUGUUGAACAUCAUAGUAAUUAUAAACACCCUUAGCAUAAGAAGAUACGAUUCCAUUAUCACUAAACAAACAUUGGUAGGGAAGGUGUUUCUUAGGGUCUUCAGAACAACAAGUAAAAUCAUAUAUUUCGCAUAAAUUCCAAGCAUAGCAUUGCAAACGAUGAAUUUGAUCCAGUAAACGUUUCCCUUUUUCAGAUAUGCGGUGUCGCACAUAACAAGCAUGCUCAUCUAAGGAUUUGCCCUCAACUAAUCUAGUUGGGGUUUCAGCACGAGCACAUAGGGAUCAAAGAUGAUCCAAGUAAUAAGCUGCAGGAGUGUGAUAGAUUUUGAGUGGUUUUUCAACCAUUGGUUCAGUAGGUACAACUAUUUUUUUUGGUAUUUUGCGUUUCCUACCCAUAACUAAAGAUAGAAAACAACUAAGAACAACCGAUAAAAAUUACUUAGUGAUAAAGCAAACAAGCACACACGAGAAUAUUCAUCCCACGCUAUGACUCCCCGGCAACGGCACCAGAAAAAGGUCUUGAUAACCCACAAGUAUAGGGUAUCACAACAGUUUUCGAUAAGUAAGAGUGUCGAACCCAACGAGGAGCUAAAGGUAGAACAAAUAUCCCCUCAAGUUCUAUCGACCACCGAUACAACUCUACGCACGCUUGACGUUCGCUUUACCUAGAACAAGUAUGAAACUAGAAGUAUUUUGUAGAUGUUGUUGGAUAGGUUUGCAAGGUAAUAAAGAGCAUGCAAAUAAAAAGUAGGGGCUGUUUAGAUAAAGACACAACUAAGUUUUUUUUAUUAAAGAGAUUUUUGUUACGACAAAGUUAUUUGUCCUAGGAAAUUGAUAGCUAGACCGGUAAUCAUUAUUGCAAUUUUUUUUGAGGGAGAGGCAUAAGCUAACAUACUUUCUCUACUUGGAUCAUAUGCACUUAUGAUUGGAACUCUAGCAAGCAUCCACAACUACUAAAGAUCAUUAAGGUAAAACCCAACCAUAGCAUUAAAGUAUCAAGUCCUCUUUAUCUCAUACGCAAACAACCUACUUACUCGGGUAUGUGCUUCUGUCACUCACGCCACCCACCAUAAGCAAAUCAUGAACAUAUUGCAAACCCUACAGCGGGAAUCCCUCGCGCUUGCGCGACACAGAGAGCACCAUAGGACAUCACCAGUAAUAAAACAUGCAACUCAAACCAAUCACGAUCAUCAAUUAACCCAUAGGACAAAACGGAUCUACUCAAACAUCAUAGGAUAGCCAUACAUCAUUGGGAAAUAAUAUAUAGGGUUGAGCACCAUGUUUAAGUAGAGAUUAUAGCGGGUAAGAGAGAGGUUACACCGCUGCAUAGAGGGGGGAAGAGUUGGUGAUGAUGGCGGUGAAGUUGUUGGUGAAGAUUGCGGUGAUGAUGAUGGCCCCCGGUGGCACUCCGGCGCCACCAGAAGCGAGGGGGAGAGAGCCCCUUCCUUAUUCUUCUUCCUUGACCUCCUCCCUAGAUGGGAGAAGGGUUUCCCCUCUAGUCCUUGGCCUCCAUGGCGUGAGAGGGGCGAGAGCCCCUUCGGGAUUGGAUUUGUCUCUCUGUCUCUCUCUGUUUCUGCGUUCUCAGAUUCUGUCCUUUCACCGUUUCUUAUAUUCCCAGAGAUCCGUAACUCCGGUUGGGCUGAAAUUUUAAUACAAUCUCUAUCCGGAUAUUAGCUUUCUUGCCGCGAAAGAAGGGCAUCGACCACCUUACAAGGUGGCCACGAGGGUCAGGGGCGUGCCCAGGGGGGUGGGGCGCACCCCCCUGCCUCGUUCCUCCCCCGCGCACCGUCUCGCGUGGAUUUUUCUUCCCAAAAAAUCAUAAAUAUUCCAAAAAAAAAUCUCCGCCAGUUUCUAUCCCAUUUGGACUCCGUUUGAUAUGGAUAUUCUUCGAAACAAAAAACAUGCAACAAACAGGAACUGGCACUGGGCACUGGAUCAAUAUGUUAGCCCCAAAAAUAGUAUAAAAAGUUGCCAAAAGUAUAUGAAAGUUGUAGAAUAUUGGCAUGGAACAAUAAAAAAUUAUAGAUACGAUGGAGACGUAUCAACUGCACCGACAAGUUUCUGGUCACCGGCUAGUUUCUGGUCAUCGGUAACUCGAAUCCUCUAUCAUGUAGCCGAUGGUCGUUAAGUGCACCCUGUUGUUUGUGUUGCACAAUCUGCACCGGGUCAUUGCCAUUGCAAGGGUCGACGACAUGCCCAGCAAACAUGAUCGCACCGUAUGCCUCCUCGACUAUGAAAUACGCGAAAGGAUGGUUGGCGACGAAAUCCACCCUCAACUCCGGCGUCAUCAUGGGAGCACAUCCAUACUCCGCACUCAUCAUGGUGACAGACGCAGCUUCCGUCCCUUCCUCGGUGACCUCGAUGACAGCCUUAUGGAUGAGCUCUCGAACAACCAAAGGCAAAGUGGUCCCGUUGUGGUCCACCAUGUCCAACAGGUCAGAACCCAUGCCGAACGGCAGAAUGAGCCCUAGCUGUUUGAGGGUUUCAACGACGCUGCUCAAGUAAUCAAGCUUGAACUUGGGAACCCUGAAGUCAACAACCUUGACGGAGCCCACUGGCAGGUGGUCGUACACGAAGCCCGGACGGGAGGUCAUCUCGUCGAUGAGGCCCCAAAGGCCGUCGUGUGCGUCCGGCAGGAAGAUGCACAUAGAGUAUCGUGUGAGUGGCUUGAAGCUUGCCGUCGACUCGCACGAUUGAUAUCCUCGCUGCGACAUCUUGUACGACAAUGCGAGCACCUUGAACCCGUCGUGCACGGCGACGAGGUGGCGGGCGGAGUUGCACAUGAAGGGCACGUCGACAGUGGCUCCGUCGCGCCGGUGGAACGGCCGGUCCUUGGUGUCCUGUUAGAAAAUAAACCACAGAUGUGUCAUGACGGUGUGCAGCAGGCGCAACGAGCAACCUGGCAUCCGGGUCGUGCGGACGAGCGGACCAGGCUCAUGAUCAGGAGAAGACCGGAUCGUUAGGGAUGCAUGCGCGGGCUGCCGUGAGCGUUGCGUUGUGUGCGAGCUAGUUGCAUGCAUCCGAUGGAUAUGGACGUGCAUGUAGACUAGUUAGUUGGUUAGUGGCCGGCUCAUGUGGUAGUGGCCGGUGCGAGCAUGCGUGCGUGGGGUGUGUGGCCGCUGGCCUGUGUGUGCAGUUGGGUAUAAAAGGCCCCCUGAUGUACUGUUUGCGGUGCACUGGUAUGAGCCGAUCCUAGGAUCCAGAUAUGAUGUAGUCUCUGCUGGGACCGUGCUAUGCGCCCGAUUGGCUGUGAGAGAGCUCCUCUGGGUAGGCUGCCGUGUGUUUCCGCGCCCGGGUAUGUGCCUAGUAAAGUGAGGCCGUUCGUGCGGCGGAUGCGUGUGUGCGUCGGAAAAAUGGUGUGCUCCUUCUUCUACCUUCGUUUGUGCGAGUGAGAGAAAGAGAACUAGUAUCGGGUUUGUCCCAACAUUUGGUAUCAUGAGCUUGGUUUGUCUUGGGCAUGGUUCACCAUGCCGCAGGCGUGGCGGCGUUCGUCGGCGGACGCGCGGAGCUCCGGGCCGUGUGUACGCUUGUGGAGGUGCUGUUGGGGAACGCAAUAUUUCACAAAUUUUCCUAGCAACGAGAGGGGAGAGUAUGUCCUGAAGGAAAUAUGCCCUAGAGGCAAUAAUAAAGUUAUUAUUUAUUUCCUUAAUAUCAUGAUAGAUGUUUAUUAUUCAUGCUAGAAUUGUAUUAACCCGAAACUUAGUACAUGUGUGAAUACAUAGACAAACAGAGUGUCACUAGUAUGCCUCUACUUGACUAGCUCGUUGAAUCAAAGAUGGUUAAGUUUCCUAGCCAUAGACAUGAGUUGUCAUUUUAUUAACGGGAUCACAUCAUUAGAGAAUGAUGUGAUUGACUUGACCCAUUCCAUUAGCUUAGCACGAUGAUCGUUUAGUUUGUUGCUACUGCUUUCUUCAUGACUUAUACAUGUUCCUAUGACUAUGAGAUUAUGCAACUCCCGAAUACCGGAGGAACACUUUGUGUGCUACCAAAUGUCACAACGUAACUGGGUGAUUAUAAAGGUGCUCUACAGGUGUAUCCGAUGGUACUUGUUGAGUUGGCAUAGAUCGAGAUUAGGAUUUGUCACUCUGAUUGUCGGAGAGGUAUCUCUGGGCCCUCUCGGUAAUGCACAUCACUAUAAGCCUUGCAAGCAAUGUAACUAAUGAGUUAGUUGCGGGAUGAUGCAUUACAGAAUGAGUAAAGAGACUUGCCGGUAACGAGAUUGAACAAGGUAUUGAGAUACCGACGAUCGAAUCUCGGGCAAGUAACAUACGACGACAAAGGGAACAACGUAUGCUGUUAUGCGGUUCGACCGAUAAAGAUCUUUGUAGAAUAUGUAGGAGCCAAUAUGGGCAUCCAGGUUCCGCUAUUGGUUAUUGACCAGAGAAGUGUCUCGGUCAUGUUGCUACCUCUUGAGCACUGCGUUGGUUUUCCCUUGAAGAGGAAAGGAUGAUGCAGUAAAGUAGCGUAAGUAUUUCCCUCAGUUUUUGAGAACCAAGGUAUCAAUCCAGUAGGAGAUCACGUUCAAGUCCCACGCACCUACACAAACAAAUAAGAACCUCGCAACCAACACGAUAAAGGGGUUGCCAAUCCCUUCACGGUCACUUACGAGAGUGUGAUCUGAUAGAUAUGAUAAGAUAAUAUUUUUGGUAUUUUUAUGAUAAAGAGAAAUAAAGAUGCAAAGUAAAAUAAAUGGCAAUAGAAAUAACUAAGUGUUGGAAGAUUAAUAUGAUGGAAGAUAGAUCCGGGGGCCAUAGGUUUCACUAGUGGCUUCUCUCAAGAUCAUAAGUAUUACGGUGGGUAAACGAAUUACUGUCGAGCAAUUGAUAGAAUUGAGCAUAGUUAUGAGAAUAUCUAGGUAUGAUCAUGUAUAUAGGCAUCACGUCCGUGACAAGUAGACCGAAAUGAUUCUGCAUCUACUACUAUUACUCCACACAUCGACCGCUAUCCAACAUGCAUCUAGAGUAUUAAGUUCAUAAGAACAGAGUAAUGCUUUAAGUAAGAUGACAUGAUGUAGAGGGAUAAACUCAUGCAAUAUGAUAUAAACCCCAUCUUUUUAUCCUUGAUGGCAACAAUACAAUACAUGUCGGUUCCAUUUCUAUCACUGGGAUCGAGCACCGCAAGAUUGAACCCAAAGCUAAGCACUUCUCCCAUUGCAAGAAAGAUCAAUCUAGUAGGCCAAACCAAACUGAUAAUUCGAAGAGACUUGCAAAGGUAAACCAACCAUAAAUAAAAGAAUUCAGAGGAGAAUCAAAUAUUGUUCAUAGAUAAUCUGGAUCAUAAACCCACAAUUCAUCGAAUCUCGACAAACACACCGCAAAAGAAGAUUACAUCGAAUAGAUCUCCAAGAAGAUCAAGGAGAACUUUGUAUUGAGAUCCAAAGAGAGAGAAGAAGUCAUCUCGCUAAUAACUAUGGACCCGAAGGUCUGAAGUAAACUACUCACACAUCAUCCGAGAGGCCAUGGAGUUGAUGUAGAGGCCCUCCGUGAUCAAUGCCCCCUCCGGUGGAGCUCCGGAAAGGCCCCAAGAUGGGAUCUCUCGGGUACAGAAGGUUGCGAAUGUGGAAUUAGGUUUUCAUGGUGCUCCUGGAUGUUUUUGGGGUACGUGGAUAUAUAUAUGAGGAAGAAGUACAUCGAUGGAGCAACGAGGGGCCCACGAGGGUGGAGGGCGCGGCCAGGGGGGUAGGCGCCCCCCCUGCCUCGUGCCCUCCUCGAUUGUUUCUUGACGCACACUCCAAGUCUCCUGGAUCACGUUUGUUGAGAAAAUCACGUUCCCGAAGGUUUCAUUCCGUUUGGACUCCGUUUGAUAUUCCUUUUCUUCGAAACCCUAAAAUAGGCAAAAAACAACAAUUUGGGCUGGGCCUCCGGUUAGUAGGUUAGUCCCAAAAAUGAUAUAAAAGUGUAAAAUAAAGCCCAUUAACAUCCAAAAUAGAUAAUAUAAUAGCAUGGAGCAAUAAAAAAUUAUAGAUACAUUGGAGACUUAUCAAGCAUCCCCAAGCUUAAUUCCUGCUCGUCCUCGAGUAGGUAAAUGAUAAAAGUAGAUUUCUUGAUGUGGAAUGCUUUCUAACAUAUUUCUCAAUGUAUUUUUUCUUUAUUGUGGCAUGAAUGUUCAGAUCCAUAAGAUUCAAGACAAAAGUUUAAUAUUGACAUAAAAAUAAUAAUACUUCAAGCAUACUAACUAAGCAAUAAUGUCUUCUCAAAAUAACAUGGUUGUCGGUGUCAAAACCGGCGGAUCUCGGGUAGGGGGUCCCGAACUGUGCGUCUAGGCGGAUGGUAACAGGAGGCAGGGGACAAGAUGUUUACCCAGGUUCGGGCCCUCUUGAUGGAGGUAAAACCCUACGUCCUGCUUGAUUGUUCUUGAUAAUAUGAGUAGUACAAGAGUUGAUCUACCACGAUAUCAGAGAGGCUAAACCCUAGAAGCUAGCCUAUGGUAUGAUUGUUGUUGUCCUACGGACUAAAACCCUCCAGUUUAUAUAGACACCGGAGGGGGCUAGGGUUACACAGAGUCGGUUACAAGGAAGGAGGUCUACAUAUCCGUAUUGCCAAGCUUGUCUUCCACGCCAAGGAGAGUUCCAUCCUAACAUGGGACGAAGUCUUCAAUCUUGUAUCUUCAUAGUCCAACAGUCCGGCCAAAGGAUAUAGUCCGGCUGUCCGGAUACCCCCUAAUCCAGGACUCCCUCAGUAGCCCGUGAACUAGGCUUCAAUGACGAUGAGUCCGGCGCGCAGAUUGUCUUCGGCAUUGCAAGGCGGGUUCCUCCUCCGAAUACUUCAUAGAAGAUUUUGAACACGAGGAUCGUGUCCGGCUCUGCAAAACAAGUUCCACAUAUCACCGUAGAGAGAAUAAUAUUUCCAUAAAUCUAAUCUGCUGAUGUACCCUGUAGUGUGACAUCACACCACAGCCAGGUCUUUAUUCGAAUCAUUUUUCAUAACCAAUCUGAGCGUGUUUCGCGAGGUGGUUUCCUUGGCACGUCUUGUCGAAGCAGAAAUCAUGUCCCCUUUAUAAAGGGGACAAGGCCUUUUCCUCUCGAUCUUAAUCGAAUCCGCCUCCCGCCUCGAGUUCCAACACCCAAAGCUCAGGUUUAGGCACUUCGGACCUUCAACUAUGUCCGGAUCCAACCUUCAAGGUCGGUGGAUGCCUUCCUCCAUCACGGAGGAGGACUUCAAGAGGUUGAGAGAGGCCAGAUAUCUGACCGCCGAAAUUUCACAUCAGCUGCCCGCCCGAGGGCAGGUCGUCCCUACUCCCGAACCCAACGAGAGCGUCAUGUUCAUCUCCCACUUCCUCCGAGGACUAGGCCUCGCUCUGGAUCCCUUCGUUAGGGGUCUUAUGUUCUAUUAUGGGCUAGGUUUUCACGAUCUGGCCCCGAAUUCCCUUAUUCACAUCUCGACAUUUAUUGUCGUAUGUGAGGCCUUCCUUCGCAUUACCCCUCACUUCAGCCUGUGGCUCAAGACCUUUGAUGUGAAGUCGAAGAUGAUCGAUGGGCAGCACGCAGCGUGCGGAGGUGCUUUAAUAAGCAAAAUCGCUGACGCUCCAUGGCCUGAGGGUUGCUUCCUAGAGGUGUCCGGAUUGUGGCAGCGGGAGUGGUUCUACAUCACAGCUCCCCGAAGUGCCAAGUGGGUAGUUGCCCCCACCUUUUGCUCAGGCCCCCCACCACAACUGGUGUCAUGGAUCAGCAGGGGGCUGAGCUGGGGUCCAGCCAAGGACGUGCCAAUACUGCAAAGCCGUAUCCGAGAUCUCUUUGAGAGACAUUUCAGUCUGGUUAUGGUAGUGCAAAUUACGCUAGUUCGUCAAGUCCAGCCUUGCAAACGUCAGCCCCUUCGCAUGUGGGAAUUCAACCCAGAAGGACCGCGAGCUAUUCAACAUUUCCUUGGCAUGACGCACGAAGAGAUGUACAAAUUGUUCUUCGGAUCACAAAUAAUGUGUCCGGACAUCACUGAGGAUGCAGGUCUGAGCUGCAAUCGCCCGGAUACCCAAGUAAGUAGCCCCGCAUCGGAACACACUAUCCGUUUAUUUAUCGCAACAUUGCCCUAAAAAAGCCGCUCUUUGACCCAGGAUUGGAUAGCGAAGGCAAAGUUGAUCAGGUGUUCGGCCCCCUCCCUGAGACCUCACCAAAUCCCGUGCUAACCCGGAUGCUGGAGAUCGCGCCUUAUCAAGCGCCCUCAGGAGAAGAUAAAGGGGGGAACAAGGAGGCUAGCGCCUCCGCAAAGGAGGUUAGCCGGGGGGGGGGGGGAGGAACUGGAACUUCCUCUCCCCAGGGAUGGAAGAGAACCGCCUCUGAGGACCCGGAGACAACGGUCUCCAAAUGGGGGAAGAAAUCUCCACCGGAGGGUCCUACCCUGGGGGAUACCCUGGCUGCACUAUGCCCUCAAGGGGAUCAGCCCUCCACCGAGCUGUAAGUAAAAGGGUAAAUGAAAAUAUCUCGCUUUACCUCUGAGGAAAAUAACCGAGGCAUUUAUCUUGCAGUUCGGAUCUUAGCCCUUCUCAGCAGAGCUCGUCUUCAGGGGAUCUUCUUCCAGAGAUGAUGGAGAGCGAAAUGCCUCCCCCUGACACACCGCCUCACGAGGCGGGCGACCCCGAGGUGUCGUCGCGGAGGGUUUCUCCUGAUCCGGCAAGGCCUGAAGGCAAUCCUAUGGCCACCCGAAGUCCUCAGUAUCCGGCUCUUGAAGAGAGCAAUCGAAAGAGUCCGGCACCGUCUGGUGUGCGGUCGGACGUAUUGAGGGAUCUGCUAGAGCAAGCGGCUAUCUCAGAAGAGCACCGCAUGUUGAUGGGUACGGUGAUUGAAAGGAUUUCGUCCGCCGAAAGCGGGUUGCAUGAAUCCUUUAUGAGUCUACUGACGGGUUUUGAGGUACGUGAAAUGAUGUACAUUUUUGACAGUGCCGCACAUUUUUAGAUGUGCCCUGUGUAGAUAGUAUCCCCUCAGACUCUGGUUGUCGUCGAAAACAGUGGAAAACAGAGGAUCAUAGUCCCAGGUAAUAACCAGACCGCCUUUAUGUGCAGGUGGUUGAAGCUCCGGUGGCUAGCCGGACUGAUGGGUUUGCCAAACUAAGGCGGCAACUGGAUGCGGCAGAUGCCAACUUCGUGCUUGUUAACAAGCGGCUUGACGAGGCACAUGGUAAGUGAUUUUUCUGGUGAUUGUCACAUAAUAAGAGCAACAUGAUGCCAGCAUCUUUAAUAUGUUGUGACUACAGAUGGAGCUGCCACCGUGGAGACCCUUCGGGCGGAGCUUGCCCGAGCCAAGGAGCAAGCCAGGAGUAGCAAUGCGGCCGCUUUAAAGGCGGCCGAAGAUUUAAGGGCUGAACAAGCCGCGCAUUGCGAGAGCAAAGAAAAAAUAGCCAAGAUGGCUGUAGAGUUAAAAGAUGCUGCUGACCGUUACCAGCUUCUUGAGGAAGAAAACCGGGCGAAGGCGACGGACCUGGAAAAGGCCCGGGUGGCUGCCAAGGAAGCCCGCUCCAAAAUUAGAGCGACGAAGGAGGAGCUGCAUCAAGCUGUGGAUAUUGUAUCUGGGAAGCCCUUCUUGUUGCGGAGUAAGUUCGGGGAUCCAAAGUAUGCACCUUUGGACCGACUAUGGAGUUCCGCGGACGCCUAUGUGGAUUUGGCUGCAAGUGCCACUGAUGCGGCCGAGUACUUCAAGGAUCGGAAAGAUCACGAAGUGGAAAAACUAUUUUGGUCACAAAUUUCAUGCUCCAGCCCGUCCGCUGCUGUUGAAUGAGCACAUGGCCGAAUGGGCCGAGCUCCAUAGAUUAUCCGGACUUGCCAUGAGGUCCGUUGUGGAUCAUCUGUGACCGGGAGGGCCGAGGCCGAAUAGCUACUUUAGCUUAGUGCAACCGUUCCUUGGUGCUAUGCCACACAUCGAUGCUGUAAAGAGGUCGGCAUGCAUAGAAGGCUCGCAGAUGGCCCUUGCCCGUGUCAAAACAUACUGGGCGGAGAUGGAUGCCACCACUGUUGCGACACAGGGUUCGGCCAUAGGCCGAGUGGCUGCCGAACACUACUUUGAAGAAGUUCUUGAAGGCGCUCAUUUGAUAGAGGCUCAGUGUUCGAAGAAUAUUAUGUUUAAGUGACAUGUAUUCCCAUUGUAAAAACAAUGUUUUAUUGAGUUUAUCAAGGCUGUAUUUAUACUUUUGCCCGAAAGUACUAUGAUGCCUCCUGUGCGGCCGUUUAUGUAUAUAUGUAUAUAACCUGAAAGAUGGCAGUCGUCGGCUUCAGCCCCCACGCAUAUAAUGCGGGGUGUUCACAGAAGACGCAUGUUCACACUUGAUCCAACAUCUUGGUCCAUUAAGGAGGUGAUAGCGCAGCGAACUAGGCAAUCGGACUAUAAUGCUUUAACACUUUCACUUAGCCAGAGGUGUUUGACAGUGGGGCUACUAUAUAGCCCCUAGUGGCUCCAUGCUCAUCCGAAUUCGGGGCGCGUACAUGCCUGGCCGGGAAAGGGCCCUUUGUUAAGGUGGAGGAAUCCCAAAGAUUCCGCUAGGUCAUCGAGUGGUUGACCAGUCUCACGCUAUAUCAUGACAGUCAGUUUUCGGCUUUCUCUACUGAGGUGCUCGCCCGAAUGAACCAGGGCACAAUCGCAGUAGUUCUCCUGGUGCCGCCUUAGCCGAUAGAGCGGAACGUAAGGCAGCAAAACACAGGAGCUGGGCAAACCCAACAUUUGACCAAAGACAUGAUUCGGAGCUGAUGCAUAUAAGGCCAAACUCGCGACGCCGAACACUCCCUAAGGUAUUCGGUCUUUAUGAUGUAAACCGGGCUUAAAUAGUGCCCUUUGUAAUAAGCCCCUGGUGUCCAGGUACGUGCAAUAUUCUGAUGUGGCCACAUGCCAAUAUGUCAGCAUCCUUCUCAAUUGUACUGAGAAUCCGGGGGAUGUGUAUCAAUAAGAGACAGUAAAAAAGGUUUACGCAGGGUCUUAAUCUAAAAAGAUUCCUUUGAAUGGGUCCCUGCUCCACGUCUGCGCCUGUGUCUCCGUUGUGCCAUAUCCUGGACGGGUGUAGCACGAUGGUCAUCUGUAAAAGAGAGGAACUUAGUUGAAAAGUUGUCAUGCAAAAAUGUAGGUUAUACUAAAUAAACCAUGUAUAGUUCAAGAUGAGUAAAGUUGAGCCUAAUUGUCACUUGUUUACACGCAUUGAGCCCCUUGUAUUGUUAUAGGGGUAUAGCCAUCAAACCUGUAUCAAUUACAUAUAGCUGCUCCGGACUCGUCUAACCGCGUCCGUGGUCUUAAUGACCUGUCAGAUGCUCUAGUUGGUGAGGCCGUUUAGUGUGCGGCUGCCAAGGCAGCCGCACGGUCUUCCACGUGCAAGGAGCGCUCAAUAUUUCCAUUUACUGUAAUGAUGCCACAUGGACCGGGCAUCUUAAGUAUGAGAGAAGUGUAAUGCGGUAUUGCGUUAAAGCGAGCGAAAGCUUCGCGUCCGAGUAGUGCUUGAUAGCCACUUUGGAACGGAGCGAUGUGGAAGGUUAACUUUUCGCUGCGGAGGUUAUCGGGAAAGCCGAAGAUAACCUCUAGUAGCAGGGACCCGUACAAUGGGCUUCUGGGCCUGGCGUUACUCCUUUAAAGGUAGUAUUGCUAUGGCUGAUUUUUGUUGGGUCUAUCCCCAUUUUGCGGACUGUGUCCUAAUAUAUCAGGUUUAAACUACUGCCGCCGUUCAUCAGGACUCGUGUGAAGUGGUAUCCGUUAAUUAUCGGGUCUAACACCAAGGCAGCCCAUCCUGCAUGCCGGAUACUUUCCGAGUAAUCCCGAUGGUCAAAGGUGAUCGGUUUGGACGACGAGUGGCAGAACUCCGCGGUGAUAGGCCCUGGGGCAUGUGUCUCUAGGAGUGCCGCUUUGUUUCUCCCCUUCAUCACGUGUAACACGUUUACUGUUUUGACUUCGGGUGGGAAUUUCUUCUGUUCCCCAGUGCUUUGCUUGCGAGGCUCGUCCUCAUCUUCGCUUGGUGUAUCCUGCACCUUGUAUUCGGCGUUGAGCUUGCCGGACUGCUUGAAGACCCAACAUUCUCUAUGGGUAUGAUUUGCAGGUUUAUCGGGGGUGUUGUGGAUCUGACAUAUUUUGUCCAGAAUCUUGUUCAGGCUGGACAGUUCGUCUCUGUUGCCUUUAGAGGGCAACUUUUGUUGACCUGGGCGAGAGCUUCUGAAUUCGGCAUUUACCGCCGUGCUCUUCGGAUUGUCUUCUUUAUUCCGGCGCUUGUUUUUACUGUGUCGUGGCUUCUCGUUUCCGUCCCUGACUUCGGAUGUACUUGGGUCGCUGGCAGAGGCGGAGCCAGGAUUUUUCGAAGCCUAGGGCUAUAACUAAGAGUCUAAGAAAAAGCUAAGACUAGUAUACCACAUAUAUCAAUGCAUGUCAGAUAUAGCCCGUCCCCCGACCCAGCCCCCGUCCCCCGCGUCGCCCUUCCUGGCGGCGACGGGGGAACCCAGAUCCGGCGGCCUUACAACCUUCCCACCUCCCUCCCCACCUUGCCGUCACCGGAGGAACGGCCGGCGAAGCCGGCGCCAGUUCUUGGGAUGGUGGCGGCGGGGCGACUUGGCUGGAUCCAGCACUCCCCCCAAUCUGACCGCUCCCCUUCGGUGGUGAGGGUCCGGAUCUGAGGCGGCGGCCUCGCUGGUGCGGACGGUGCUCCUCCGGCGGCGGGGAGUGCUCGUCGGUGAGGUAGGCCGGUUCCCCUCGGCUGCGCGGGCAGCGAGGUCCCGGUGGGCGCAGGUCAUGGCGCUGGGAGGCCCCGGGCUCCCCUCGUCAGAUCGGUGGCGAUCCUGGUCCGCUCUUGAUGCAUGACCUCCUGCCGGCCUGGAUCUCCGGUGUACACGCGCCUGCUGAUGAUGUGGCUGGUUCGGAGAUGGUGGCAGGGUGCUUGGCCGGGGGAAACCCUUGGCCACCGGUGGCGGUCACGGCGUCGAUGGCGUCCCGGACGCCAUUCCCUCCUUGGUGGCGGCGCCGAGGCUAAACCUCCCCUGCCUCUCCCCUUCCCCUGCGCCCGGGUGAAAACCCUAGCCCCGGUGGCUAAGCGGCGGCGGCGCCACAGUGUCGUCACCUUCUUGAAGGCGCCGACUUGGGCAUGGGGAUGCUGGGUGUGCAUGGCGAGUUUGUCUGGUUCCUGGUGGCGACCCGCCUGAUCUACUGCAUCGCAUCUCCGGGCAUGUCUCGGGGUUGCAGUGCUUCUCUUCCGGCCGUGUCUUCGAUGGGGACCUCUCCCUUCCUCACCUUGUACAUGCCGUGGUGGAGCGGUACUUCAUCUCACUCAUUGAUGGUAGCGAAGAUCGGCGGCAUGGCGCUGUGGAGGCUCGCCGCCUGAUGCGCGGAGAUGGACUCGCGCAGGAGGAGGUUGCUGUCUGGCGUCAUGGUGAUGUCGAUGGUAGAGUGGCCAGACAAGGUAGAAGCCUCAAUAUGAUCUGAAGACGGACCUGUGGAAGAUGGCGGCGACGACACAUGAGUGCGUCUGACCGGAUUGUGCCCCAGACCCGGUAUGUGGCUUGGCUGGGGCUUCCGAAUAUGUUUUGGUUUCCGGCUUUUGAUGUUAGGCUUAGGUGAGUGGUUUGGGUAGUGGCCCAACUAGCACCCCUUCAUCAUUUUGGAUAGGAGUAGCGGCAUGUGUUGCCAAGAUGAUGGAUUCAGGCUCAUUGUUGUAAUACUUUGUAAGGUCAUGAGAAUAAUCAAUAAAGUGGCCGUAUGCAUCUGCCAGAUGCAGAGGCCGGGGGUCAUCCUCCUUUUCUAAAAAAUGUCAUAUAUAGACUACAUAUUCACAUUUCAUAGGAAAUAUGUACUCCAAUAUUAAAUCAAGAGAAAAUUCAUAGAAAUAUGUAAUUAGUUUAACAAAGUGCAUCGUUGCACAAGCUGGUACCAAAGUAAUGAUGGCUUGAUUAAAUUGAUCCCAUUGUUUCGUCAUCAGCAGUAUAAGGACUUGCCCAUGGUUUUGUCAUCAGCAGUAUAAGGGCCUGGAGCUGUGAAGAUAAAAUUCUGUAUUCAAAACAAAAAGACAAUGAACAUAGGCUAAGUCAAUUGUUCAUAACUUUUGAAAACAAGAACAUAAUAUACCGUUAUCUCGAAAAUAAGCACAUGAUGUAAUUGACCGAGUCUGCUACAUGCCUUCGUCUUGGGUUUCUAAUUUGCUGUUGACAACGAAAGAAAAUUGAAUGAAGUUGUACAAUUUACCAAAAUAAAAUCCACUUAGGUUGUAUUCCCCCAGUUUCUAAAUAUAAGCCCGUUUAGAGAUUUCAAUAUGGACUACAUACGAAUGUGUAUAGACAUAUUUUAGAGUGUAUAUUCACUCAUUUUGCUCCGUGUGUUAUCCGUAUUGAAAUCUCUAAAAUGUAUGAUUUAGGAACGGAGGGAGUACAAUUUAGCAAUACCAAGUAAUUGAUUUCAUCUAUGAUACAGAAUAACUAGGGAAAGUAAGUUAGACGGUGCUCCGUCGGUUCUUUUAACUAAAACCACGAUAAAAAUUAUGAAACGGGUGGAGCGUUUUUGGAAUUACCUGUUCAGAGCAUUGGAUAAUUACGAGUAGAAAUAAGUUGGAUGAUAUAUACUAGGAACAGAUUUACUGAAAAUAUAUACUAGAAACAGAGGAAUCGUUGGAUGACUACCUGGGUUAGGUAGCGGGCAGUUGAGAAUUACAGAACAGGAGGCAACCAAGCAGAUCAUUAGGGCUCAGGCGCACAGCAGGGGCUGCUCUGCGAUAAGUGCCGAGCCGCCUUGACGAGGGAUGCAACGCAUCUUUGAUUCAAGGUUCGUUUCCGAUCGGACGAGAUUUUCCUCGAUUAGGCGAGUUGGACGUAUCGCCGGGCUAUUCUUUUUUGUUUAGCGAUUGGUAUGGCAAUCAUACUGGGUGGGUGGAUAUGUUAACGGGCUUAGACUUGCUUGCGGUUGGGUUAGCAGGCCUGGGGCUGGGCCUCUAUAACACCAAAUUCUGAGAAAAAUACAAACAAAUGUAUGUGUACUAACUGGGCCACGCCUGGGGCUAUAGCCCCAGUUGCCCCAGGCCUAAUUUCACCCCUGGUCGCUGGUGCUACAUUGGGCUAACCAGUUGUCCUCGCCCGCGCAAAAGCGGGUCAUGAGGCUUGUUAAUGCUGCCAUUGUUCUCGGCUUUUCUUGGCCGAGAUGUCUGGCAAGCCAUUCGUCUCUGUAAGUGCAUCUAGUGCCCCUUAGUGAUUUUGGUGUAUUGAAGACUUAUAGGUUAAGGGACUAAUGUGUUUAUGAGUGUACAAUUGUCUAUAAGUCCAUGAGGAGUUUGAUAUUUACAGGGAAAGUCGACCCCUAAAAAUGAAGUUCUUCGUCUAAAGACUUUGGUAUUCUGAAGACUUUCUGAAGACUUUGAAAGUGAAGAAAAUGGUGUGACCAUGAAGACUUGGUAUUCAUUCGAGGAACAUGAAGCGUGAAUACUUUUGCGUUCGUAGUUUCAUUUUCUCUUUCUUGAGUCAUAGGAAACACCGUACUGUUAAAGGGGGACAAGGAAAUACUAAGGAAAAAUUUCCAUGUGAUGCUCAACUCAAAAUCCUACACCUACCAAUCCCUUCGAGUGAAGCCAUUGGAAAUCUCAUACAGUUCAGUCAAUUUCUUCAGUGACAGAGACGAAGUUCUUCUGGUCUCUGAGGAAUUUGUUCUGACUGGGGAGUUAGGAAUUCACCAGUGCGGAUUUCCUACACAGUGAGGAACAUGAUAGCCCUGAGAAUUUUGCUACUCAAAAUUCCGACCAUUGCUGUGCUAUGCGCCAGCUGUCCCAAAAUAUCUAACCACCUAACGGUCAUAUCAUUGAAGGGCAUUUAUGUCUUAUCAUGUCGGGCUGCUCCCUAGGCUAUAAAUAGCCGCCCCCCUACAACCACUUGCUGGUUGGCUGCUUCGAGAGAAACUGACACUUGUCAUUUGAGAGCAACCCAUCCUCUGAGGACUUUGAGCGAAAAUCGUCAAGUGAGGAAAAACCAAAAACCCAAAACCCAAACACCUACAAACCCCAAGUGAUUGAGCAUCACUGAAGAGAUUGAUCUUGCGUGGAUCCGACGCUUGUUACCUUUGAAGACUGUGCUUCUUCCAGACGGUUAGGCGUCAUGGUCUAGAGCAUCCAAGAGGAAUUGUGGAUCACCGAGUGACCAAGUUUGUGAAGGUUUGGAAGUCACCUGAAGACUUACCACGAGUGAUUGGACGAGGUUUGUGUGACCUUAGUUCAAGGAGAAUACGGUGAGGACUGGGUGUCCUAAGCUGCGUGUUUAGGACUGGGUGUCCAGGACUGUGUGUCCUCAAGUUUAAAUACUCAGACGCUCCAACCAGACGUACAACUGAGACAGCAAUUGGAACUGGUCUACCAAAUCAUUGUCUUCACCAAGCUUACUGGUUCUAUUCCCUCAACUCUUUCAUUUCCUCAUAACUGUGUUGUGUGUUUGUUCAUAUCUGUGUUUGAAGACUUUGACUGAAGACUUUCUCAAUUUACUCAGUUCAAUUUCUUCAGUCUGUUUGUCUUCAUCCUAUGUUAUCCUGUGAUUACUCUUCCUGUACUCUGUGCCUGUCUUCAUUUCAUCAUGAUGACUAUGCUUGUAUUCUGUUAUGUUUACUUUUGAGUACUUAUUCCGCUACUAGUAGUUCUUCACUAAGGAAUUUCCUCACCGGCAAAUUCCUCAGUGAAGAAUUUCAUAAAAAUCACCUAUUCACCCCCCUCUAGUCGAUAUAACACACUUUCAAUUGGUAUUAGAGCAAGGUACUCCCUUGUUCUGUGUGAUUUUGGUUUAACCGCCUGGAGUUUUAGUUAUGUCGACCGCAGGUAUGACAAAAGUGACAUGCCCCAUCUUUGACGGUCACGAGUAUCCCAAGUGGAAGGCCAUGAUGAAGAAAUGCCUCAUGGCUAUGAACAGUGAGCUGUGGACCAUCACUGAGAUUGGUCUGAUUGAUCUGUGCAAGAUGGCGGAAGCUGAUGACAUUCGCAAGUACACCCUUCUCAACCUCAUGGCGAAGGAUGUCAUCUGCUCCAGUCUGUCACAAAAUCAGUUCAGGAAUAUCAUGCAUCUCGAUCAUGCGAAGCUCAUCUGGGACCAUCUCUCUGAGGUCUAUGAAGGUCAUCGAACCUGUCAUGAUCCUUGGUUUGAGGACUUCAAGGAAUCUCUCAAAGCGAUGACAUUCGAACCAGCAUCAUCAUCUUCUGCAUCAUUCCUUAUGGCAAAAGAUGCUGAGGUAACUGAAUGCUACCUAUCCGAGUCUAGUGAUGAUGAAUCUGGUGAUGAAUUUGGACCCAGCUAUGUCAAACUUGCUUCCCUUGCCACUAAACAACAAAGAGCUUUAAAAAAAGUUCACUAUAUGCUAAACAAGAGCGAUGAUAUGUUGGGUGAAGAAAUGGAUCAGUCAAAAGCUUUGGCUGAAAGUCUUCAGAGACUUCAUACUAAGUAUGACACCCUUCAAGAUCAACAUAACACUCUCUUACCUGAUCAUGAGAAGCUUUCUUAUGAAUUUCUUCAAAGAAAGCAAGACCUUGAGAAGCUAAGAGUGAGUUAUGAAGAUAUUCAGAAGGAGCGUGAUUCAUUACUUGCUCAACAAAUCAGCGCAUCUCAGGAAGAAUUUGUUCCUCCAUGCUUGAAGUGCAUUGAACGUGAAUCUGCUAAUUCUUCACCUGAAUGUUCAAAUGCUGCUAAUGUUUCAAAUUCUUCACAUGCCUCUGCUAUCACUAAUUCCUCAUCUGAGGACAUUGCUAGUAUCACUGACGAUGCAGGGCUGAAGGAAUUGUACACGACACGCAUGUACAAAAGCCUCAAAGGGCAUCAGGCUCUUUGUGAUGUGCUUAAAAAGCAGAUCCUCAACAGGAACCCUAGGAAAGAGGGUAUUGCCUUUGAGAGGAAACUCAAUGCUGAUGGUACAUAUUGGAAGCCUGAGCAGUACCCCAAAACUACAUGGGUUGCUGCAAAGGGACCUCCAGUUGAUCCAUCUAACUUAUCUGGAUUUGCAUGUGAAUCUCCUCGUUCCGAUGACGAGUCAUUUGACUCCAACUAUAAACUAUUCAAAAAUCAGAAUGGUGAAGUAUUUGCUAGAUAUGUUGGCACUAACUGCAGGAACGGCUCCCCUAUGAAGAAAAUCUGGGUUCCCAAAAGAUGCCUUGAAAAUCUUCAGGUGAAUGUCAUCAUGACGCCACCUGUGAAGAAUAGGAACCCCAGAUCAAAUUCUUCAUAUGGACCAAAUAAUUCAUAUGGAUCAAAGUCCUCAUAUGAACAUCAUCGUGCUAACCCGUCUGUUUCGCAGGGAAGAUCUAAGGAUUAUGGAUAUGUGCGUUAUUCUUCAAAUCAUUAUGUCCAUAAGUCCUCGAAGAAUUUCUCUGCAUACUCUUAUGCUUACUCUAACCCCUCUUAUGUGAAACGAAAUGGACUGGCUUCUAUGCCAUCCUUCUCGUAUGGAGCUCGCAGAAUGAUGAACUCUUUUCCACCCCUUCAGAUGUGGGUGGUGAAGAAAAAGAACUAAUCUCUUCUGCAGGGUCUGGUCUCCAGACGUACGUAAUCGUCUGAAGAAUUUGCUGGAGACCUGAGUAUGCCUGAUAGGACGCAGGCUAAUCAUGAAGAAAUGAACUUUCAUUUCUCACGUCCUCAUAUUGCUUUAUCAGUUCUUUUACUUGAUGAAAUUGAUCUAAUGAAUUGAUGUCAUAUUCUUCACUGAUGAAGUAUAUGAGUUUGUAAGCUGCACUAAUUCAUCCGCAGGAUGAUCAACCCAAAGCCACUGAGUGGGUCCUCGAUAGUGGAUGUACAAACCACAUGACUGGUGACAAGAAUCUAUUGAUGGAUGCUCCAUUAUCUCCGUCGCAUCUGAAGCAUAUCAUCUUUGCUGACAAAGGCAAAAGUCAGGUAUUGGGUCUAGGUAAGGUUGCGAUUACAAAGGAUCGACACAUGGACAAAGUCAUGCUUGUUGAGUCCUUAGGAUACAACCUUAUGUCUGUCUCAAUGCUUUGUGAUAUUGAUAUGGUUGUUGUCUUUGGCAAGUACCGUUGUGUUGUGGUUAUGGAAGCUGACAAUUCCAAAGUCUUUGACGGCUUUAGGAGAGGAGACCUGUAUAUUGUUGAUUUCUCUACAGGACCACAACCAGCCGUGUGCUUACUUGCAAAAGCUUCAGAAGGCUGGCUCUGGCAUCGACGACUUGGUCAUGCAGGCAUGAGGAAUUUGCACACGCUUGCGAAGAAGAAGCAUGUCAUUGGCAUCGAGAAUGUAAAAUUCCUCAAGGAUCACCUAUGCGGAGCCUAUGAAGCUGGGAAGAUGACCAAGGCCAAGCAUCCAGCAAAGACUAUCAUGACCACCACUCGCCCAUUUGAAUUUCUUCACAUGGAUCUCUUUGGUCCUAAUCAUUAUUCUACUAUUUCAAAUGAAGCAUCUCAAUAUGGCUUUGUUAUUGUUGAUGAUUAUUCUCGCUACACAUGGGUACACCUUGUUACUUACAAACAUGAAGUGCAGGAAGUCUUCAAACGAUUUUCCUCGAGGGCUUCAACCAACUUUGGUGUGAAGAUCAAGCACAUCAGAAGUGACAAUGGCACUGAGUUCAAGAAUUCUGUUCUCGAUGACUAUCUUGAUGAACUUGGUAUUACUCAGGAGUUAUCUGCUCCUUAUACUCCUCAGCAGAACGGCGUCGUGGAGCGCAAGAACAGGACUCUUGUUGAGAUGGCUUGCACUAUGCUUGAUGAAUAUAAAACGCCGCGUCAUUUCUGGACUGAGGCAAUUGAUACUGUGUGCCACAUCAUCAACAGAGUAUAUCUUCACAAAUUCUUCAAAAAGACUGCCUAUGAACUCUUCACUGAUAAGAAACCCAAUGUAAGUUAUUUCAAAGUCUUCGGUGCUAAAUGUUGGAUUAGAGAUCCUCAUCACAACUCAAAAUUUGCACCGAAAGCACAUGAAGGUUUUAUGCUUGGUUACGGAAAGGACUCGCACACCUACAGAGUCUUCAACAACGUUCUUCACAAAGUUGUUGAAACUGUAGAUGUGCGGUUCGAUGAAACUAAUGGCUCGCAAAGAGAGCACCUACCUACUGUGAUAGAUGAACCAACACCUGAGGAAACUAUCAAGUUCAAGGCUACUGAGGAUGUCAUUCCUACUGAAGAAUCUGCUGAAGAAUUCAUUCCAGAACAUGAAGAACGUCGAGCUAAUGCACCUGAAGAAAAUGCUGAAGAAAAUGAUGCUGAAGAAAACGUUGAUCAAAUUCUUCAACGGCAACCAGCUCAUCCUCGCAUUGCAAAAGAAGUGCAAGUUGAAAAGAUCAUAAAUGACAUCAAAGCACCAGGUCCUCUCACACGCUCAAAAGCUUCACAUUUGUCUAACUUUUGUGGGCACUAUGCUUUUGUCUCUAUUACAGAGCCCACUAAGGUAGAUGAAGCAUUUCUGGAGCCUGAGUGGAUUUAGUCCAUGCAAGAAGAAUUACAUCAGUUCGAGCUCAACAAAGUCUGGGAACUGGUCAAAUGUCCAGAUCCUCGCAAGCACAAUAUCAUCGGCACAAAGUGGAUCUACCGCAACAAGCACGACGAAAAUGGCCUUGUGGUGAGGAAUAAGGCACGACUUGUAGCUCAAGGCUACACACAGGUUGAAGGAAUUGAUUUCGAUGAAAAUUUUGCACCUGUUGCUAGACUUGAGGCUAUUCGCAUAUUACUUGCUUAUGCUAACCAUCAUGAUAUCACUUUAUAUCAAAUGGAUGUGAAAAGUGCAUUCCUCAAUGGUAAGCUUGAGGAAGAAGUAUAUGUUGCUCAACCCCCAGGUUUUGAAGAUCCAAAUAAUCCUGACAAAGUCUUCAGACUCAACAAGGCCCUCUAUGGCCUCAAGCAGGCCCCACGGGCUUGGUAUGAUACUUUGAAGGAAUUCCUCAUGAAGAAAGGCUUCAAACCCGGUUCACUCGACCCUACCCUUUUCACUAAAUCUUAUGAUGGUGAAUUGUUUGUGUGUCAAAUAUAUGUUGAUGAUAUUAUCUUUGGCUGUACUGACCAACGUUAUAGUGAUGAAUUUGCCUAUAUGAUGAGUGAAGAAUAUCAACUGUCUAUGAUGGGAGAGUUGAAAUUCUUCUUAGGUCUUCAAAUUCGUCAACAAUGCAAUGGCAUAUUCAUAUCUCAGGAGAAAUACCUCAAGGAUGUACUGAGGAAAUUCGACAUGCAAGAUUACAAAGGCGUCAAAAUUCCUAUGCCCACAAAUGGCCAUCUGUGCACUGAUGAAAAUGGUAUUGACUUCGAUCAUAAGGUAUACCGCUCCAUGAUAGGUUUACUUAUGUGCAUCUAGGCCAGAUAUAAUGCUUAGUGUUUGCAUGUGUGCCCGAUUUCAAGCUACACCGAAGGAAUCACACCAUAAGGCUGUGAAGCAUAUUCUUCGAUAUCUAGCUCACACACCAACACUUGGAUUAUGGUACCCCAAGGGCUCGGUUUUUGAUCUCAUUGGAUAUUCUCACUCUGACUAUGCUGGUGAUCGUGUGGACCGCAAGUCAACAUCUGGUACAUGUCAUUUCCUCGGACGAUCUUUGGUCUGUUGGUCCUCGAAGAAACAGAACUGUGUAUCACUAUCUACUGCUGAAGCUGAGUACAUUGCCGCUAGUUCUUGCUGUGCCCAAUUGCUAUGGAUGAAGCAAACUCUCAAGGACUACGGCGUCAACAUGAAGAAUGCGCCUCUCUUCUGUGACAAUGAGAGUGCCAUCAAGAUUGCUCACAACCCAGUUCAGCACUCGAAGACAAAGCACAUUCAGAUUCGUCAUCAUUUUCUUCGUGAUCAUGUGUUGAAGGGCGACAUUUCUAUUGAGCAUGUGAAGACUGAAGAAUAGCUAGCCGAUAUCUUCACUAAGCCCUUGGUUGAGAAGAGAUUUAGCAAGUUGCGGUGUGAGCUAAAUAUCCUAGAAUCUUCGAAUGUUCUUUGAAAAGGACACUCAUCCUAACACUUAUGCAAAAUUGAUGACUUAGAUGCGCAACACAUGAAGACACGUUUUUCUUCAAUCAAUGAAGAAUAACACUCUUAGUGUGAAGAAAUUAAUGAAGAAUUUGAUUCUCAGAACCCUACGAUAAUUGUACGCGGUGUCUGAAAUCAUCAUUCUUAUACGGUGGGUCACACCACCACCAAAAGUUGAAAUUCCUCAAAUUAUUCAUAUUCUUCAACUUUGCAUAGUCUUCACUGGUUCCGUCGUUUUUCUUCAUUGGCUAUAUAUAUAUAUAUGAGUUUAUGUCCUCUACAGCAUUCACUUAUUGCUGUUUCUUCAAGUUGGUUUUCUGCUAAGUGAAUGUAAUCGGACCCUUCCCCUCUAUGCUAUACUCAACCCAAUCUGUUCACAAAUUCUUCAUGUGCGUUCUAUUUGAAACUCGUUCAAAAUCUUCACUGUGUCCUUGUCAGCUGAAGAAAUUGCGAAUGGAACUUUAAAACCUAUCUUAUCGAAAUUUUCAGCUUUGCCGCUCAAACCGUUCCGCAUCCCACGAUAUACUUAUACACUCACCCACGAUCUAACACGAUCUCCACCUCUCACUACGUGGGUGAAACAUGUCAUGCGAAUGAGAAGGGUCAGGGGCAUGUUCGUCCAAUUUCUUCAGGCGAGCAAUUUUUCACCGUGGCUAUAAAUACUCCUCCUUCCCUUCCUCACUUCUUUUACUCCGCUCGAUCUCUCUCUAGCUCAAGCUUCUCAAACCCUAGCGCUUCCGCUACUUCAUCACCGCCGGUGAGGAAGCGCUUCACUGCCUCGACCUCAUCGCCGACGUACUCGCGCCGACCGCGGAAAUCUUCACUCCGCCGCCGCCGUAGCCGUCUUCCUCCGCCAAGUUAGGGCGUGGAAGAUCUGCACGGACGAACUUCACAUCUCCUCACUCCAGUUCGUCGUGUUCUUCGUCCAGGGUAAUUAAAAAUUACUUUUGCUACCCUUGUUGAUUCGAAUGAUUAUCUUCAAAAUCUUCACAGGUGUUUUUCUUCAUAGAUUCACACACUAAACACCUCACAAGUCAUCUGUUCUUGAUUCUCUUCUCUAAGCCAUGUUUUUCUUUAAGAUUCCUCAAAUGUGUGGAUUUUUAAUCUACACAUCUCUGGAACCUAAGAAAAAGAACGCUUAGUGAAAUUCUUCAAGACUCAUCUGGUCAAAUUCCUCUAACUUGUUCUUUUUACAAAACCUUCUAAGAACGCAUAUGACACCUCUCCAAAUUCCUCGCAACUAUACUCUGUUCACAUGUACACAUGUCAGCUGUUGAAUCACUAGGUUCUCAUCAACUUAACUCAUUUGCAGCGUUCCUCGAAGAAAAGUUGCAUACUUCUUCAGAGAACUCAAUUGUUCAAAUUCCUCAACUGAAGAAAAUGGCUGACGGUAAGAAGCCACAGAAGGGAGGAAAGAGGCCUGAGGUAAAUACAAUGUUUAAGAUCCCUGAUGAAAUAUAUGCUGGGUACUGCACACCUACUGAGGAAACCAAGAAUGAGCGCAAAGUGCGCAUUCAGAAGAUAGAGAGGAGAUGGGCUAGAGAGUGGAGGGAAUACAGAUAUGUCACUCCUAAGUACAUGAAGAAAUUCGCACUCAAUCCUCCAUGCCCAAGACCUCCAUUGGCACCUAGCCAAAUUGCUGAUCCCACCAGCCUCAAGCGCGGUGAGGACUAUCCUGAUGAAUGGGCCAAGCGCCAAGCCAAGUUGGCUAAGCAAGCCAGAUAAGCAGUGAGGAAAUUCAAUGAAGACUCUGCUGCUGCUGCCUCUACUGUCAAGCCAAAGAAGGCUAUGUCAAAGAAGCCUGCGCGCAAGCCAAGUGCUUCACCAACAAUGCCCUCAAGGCUAAGUUCCUCAGCAAUGCCCUCACGACCAGAAUCCUCAAAGCCCUCACGGUCAAUUCCUCAUGCUGCUCCUGUUCCUCCAAAGUCCUCAGCUCCUCCGCUAAAGCCCUCAGCUGUUCCGACUAAAUCCUCAGCACCUGUGCAUCUCGCCUCGUGCCAAAGGACUGCAAGCAUCUCCAUUGCCUCAGGUGUCUCAGCUAGUUCCUCAGCUGCACCAAGUUCCUCAGUUGGCCCCUCACUGCUGAAGACAAAGGCCACUGCUGGACGAGGUCCUGGCCCAAGUCCUCAAAAGAAACAAGUCGCUUUCCAAGUACCGUCUGAAGAAGACGAAGCUGAUGAUGAUGAACUUGCAGAAAUCAUCAGAGACAGGCAAGUCAGGGCCGCUAGAGCCAAAGGACCAGAGGUGCCACUGCUUUUGGAUCCCAAGUUGAUCCUUGACUACAUUGAUGUCUGGCACAAGGACCCCAACACUCCCUUGCCUGACUUCAAGCUGACUCCUGGCCAGAGUCACAUGCUGACCCACUUCAUUCAAGAAGAAAAGUGGAAAUUUGAGAAGGCCAGGCAGAUCAAGAAAGCGCAGUACAAGAAAGAGCGCUAUCUGAAGAAAAACGUUGUCUCUAUGACAACUGAAGAACUUGUCACUAUUCAGACUGAGAUUAAGAAACUCAGUGAUGAGUUUGACGCAUAUCGCGCUGAUUGGCUUGGAGCCAAGGUUCGUUUUGUGAAACUUGCAGAUAACUUCACUUCCAAUGUUGCAGCCCCAACGCAACAGGAAAUUCCUUAGGCUGAAGCAUCUGCUCAACCUACUGAAGAAAAUGCAAGCACCGCUGAUGACAAUCAGGCUGCUGAAGAAAAUGUGGGUUCCAGGGCUGAUGACUGCAUUCCAGCCACAGAAGAAAUUGCCAGGGCACCCACUAGUGGUCCGCCUGAAGAAACUGAAGAACUCAGGGCAACUGCAUCAGUUGUGCCUGAAGAAAAUCAACCAGAUUCCUCAGCUGCUCCUGCACCAACUUCAACUCCAAUCCUUCCAUCUGCAUUGGAUGUGAAGAAGACCAAGGCUGUAGAGCAUGCUGCACUGAAGAAAAGGAAAGCAUCAGCUGCUUCAGAUUCUUCAGCUCCAAAGAAAAUGAAGCCUAUGACAAGUUCAUUUGCAAAUCCGAUUGAUGCUGUUCCCAUCUCAACCAGGCCAUGAAAGGACCUUGUUCCUUUUGAUGAAGAAUAUGUGAUCCCUAGUGGAUCUGAUGAAGAGACUCCUUCUGCUGCUUCGUCUGAACCGUUGGAUGAAGAAAUUUAAGUGGAUGCGAUCCCUUCAACACCUAUCAUCUCCUCUCCUAUGCCUCAGUUCACAGCUGAAGAGGCUGGCAUUGAAGAAAUGGAAGAUGAAGAUGUGGACAUUGGCUGCUCCACACCCGUAAUCAGUGAUGAAUCUGGGAAAGUCUGCAUCCAAACUCACCAAUGUUCACCCCUCUACAACAAAUUCCUCAGUCCCCCACACAAACUGUACAUAUGGGCUCUGAAGAAACUCAUCCCACUGCAUCUGUCCAUGAGGAAAUUCCAGCUACUAGCGCUGAAGAAACUGCUGCUGCUGAACAACCAACGACACAGACUGUCACUGAGGAGGAACUAGAAAUUCCUCAGCCUGAAGAACCUGCGAUUGAGAUUCCUGAGGUCGUGAUGCAACUCACUAACACUCCUCUGCCGAAGCCAAAGGACCCAUUCUUACGCAAGCAAAAGUUCAAGGCUGAUGAUUUCUUCAACGAGCACAUAUUCUUCAAAGAUUACAACCCAUAUAACUCUGCUCGCAUUAGGAAGAGGCAUUUCUAGACAUCUAGUCAAGCCAAUUUCUAUUCCUCAGUGCUGUUCAACAAGGAGAAGAUCUUCUACCAUGAGCAUAUUCCUCACGUGGAUAUGGAAUCUCUGCCGUGCUUCGCACCAGUCCUCAGUGUUCUUCACGAUGCUGGACUGCUAAACUUUUGCUCUGACAUCUGCGAUUGGAAUGAAGAACUGAUUCUUCAAUUCUAUGCAACGCUGCACAUCACUAGAGAUGCUGAAGAUGUGAAUUCCUGGGUGUUGGACUGGAUGUCUGAAAACACUCACUACACUGCACCAACCUCUGAACUGCUUCAUGCUCUACCACUCAGUCCUCCCCUUGAAGAAGCUCGCUGCAUCUACAGUGAACCUGAGCUCACACAUCAUUACAUGCAGGUGCUGAUGAAACCUUUGAAGCCAGGUCAGGCACUAAGAACCAAAUUCCUCGUGAAGGAAUUGUUGUAUGUGCCCAGAACUGUCUAUCGUAUUCUUACAAGGACAAUCAGUCCUAUCAAAAGGCCACGACUCGUCUGAUGAGGAAAUUGUUGGCAUCAUGAAGAAUCUGGUAUUCAACAUCGUUCAUGGCAUUCCUGUCAAUUAUCACGAUUUCUUCAUGAGGACUAUGGCCAAUGUUGCACUGUCUCCGUUUGAGCUGAAGCCUUAUGCACCUUGGAUUAUGAGAUUCCUCAGGAAAAGGUCUUCACUCAACUACAAAGCUGAUUUCCAGAAUCACCUCAGCUACUUGCCCCCAAUUGAAGUCCUCAAGUAGACAUAUUCCUCAGUUGAUGGAAAGGGCAAGGCACCAGCUGUAAUAGAUGAAGGCAUUCAUCCAUUGGAUGGUCAGUUUCGCAAAGCUACAUCUUAUUCCACCAAUGAUGACUCUGCCACACAUGACUCUGCCAAUGCACCCAAGUCCACUCCUCAAGCCAUUGGUCCGCGUGUGAUGACUGACCGUGAACUUUUGCUUAGUCUUCACCAGAAGGUGGAUCGAAAUCACAAAUGGGUUAAGCGUUAGUUUGGUUCACUUCUUCACAACAUGACUGCCACACACAAUGCAAUGAAGAAAAACCACUACUACCUCCAUCAAGUCUUCGGUCGCACCUGGGCAAUCCUGUCACAUCUGUAUGGUGAAGAAGAUCUGAAGAACAUGGGUCUCAAAGAAGAUUUUGACUGGUCUGCACCUCCACCAAAGAAAUUCAAGAAGGUCAAGGUUCCUUCUCUGGUGGCCAGCUCAUAUUCUUCAUCGUGCGACACUGAUGAAAAUGAAGACUUGGACGACACUGCGGCAGGCCCUACUACAAAAAACAACCCCAACAACGCUGGCGCUCCUUCAUCGACUUGAUAUUCUUCAGGGGCGUUAGUCCUCAUAUUCGUUCCUUUUGGUCAUUUGAUGACAAAGGGGGAGAAGUUUGAGUUAGUCUUCAAGCGAGUCUUUCUAUAUGGGCAUCUUUUGUUAAGUUACAACUCUCAUUCUUCUGCGACUUUAUUGGAUCGAGUUCUAAACUUAAACCCGAUGGUGCUCUGAUACUCUUGAUACGUUUUUUUGCAUGCUUAUUCCUCGUUAAUAUUAUUGCACACAUGCUGAAUUACAUCAGUCACCAUAUUUCAUCAUGCAUUUCAAAUUCUUCACUGUUAUAUAUCAAAUGCGUGUAUGAAUUACAAGAUAUAGGGGGAGAUCUCCAUGAUUCAACUCUUCAAGUGUGCAUUGCUUCAAAAGCAAAUUCCUCACUAUGCACAUCUUCAGGGGGAGUUCUUCUAUAUCUUGCAAUCAAAUUCCUCAAUAUUAGUAGUUACACUUCAUAUGUUUAUCCCCUUUGAAAACUUAACCUAUAUUGUCAUCAAUCACCAAAAAGGGGGAGAUUGUAAGUGCAUCUAGUGCCCCUUAGUGAUUUUGGUGUAUUGAAGACUUAUAGGUUAAGGGACUAAUGUGUUUAUGAGUGUACACAGGUCUAUAAGUCUAUGAGGAGUUCGAUAUUUAUAGAGAAAGUCGAUCCCUAAAAAUGAAGUUCUUCGUCUGAAGACUUUGGUAUUCUGAAGACUUUCUGAAGACUUUGAAAGUGAAGAAAAUGGUGUGACCGUGAAGACUUGGUAUUCAUUCGAGGAACAUGAAGCGUGAAGACUUUUCUGCUCGUAGUUUCAUUUUCUCUUUCUUGAGUCAUAGGAAACACCGUACUGUUAAAGGGGGUCGUGGAAAUACUUAGGAAAAAUUUCCAUGUGAUGCUCAACUCAAAAUCCUACACCUACCAAUCCCUUCGAGUGAAGCCAUUGGAAAUCUCAUACAGUUCAGUCAAUUUCUUCAGUGACAGAGACGAAGUUCUUCUGGUCUCUAAGGAAUUUGUUCUGACUGAGGAGCUAGGAAUUCGCCAGUGCGGAUUUCCUACACAGUGAGGAACAUGAUAGCCCUGAGCAUUUUGCUACUCAAAAUUCCGACCGUUGCUGUGCUAUGCGCCAGCUGUCCCAAAAUAUCUAUCCACCUAACGGUCAUAUCAUUGAAGGGCAUUUAUGUCUUAUCAUGUUGGGCUGCUCCCUAGGCUAUAAAUAGCCGCCCCCUACAACCACUAGCUGGUCGGCUACUCCGAGAGAAACUGACACUUGUCAUUUGAGAGCAACCCAUCCUCUGAGGACUUUGAGCGAAAAUCAUCAAGUGAGGAAAACCCAAAAACCCAAAACCCAAACACCUACAAACCCCAAGUGAUUGAGCAUCACUGAAGAGAUUGAUCCUGCGUGGAUCCGACGCUUGUUACCUUUGAAGACUGUGCUUCUUCCAGACAGUUAGGCGUCAUGGUCUAGAGCAUCCAAGAGGAAUUGUGGAUCAUCGAGUGACCAAGUUUGUGAAGGUUUGGAAGUCAUCUGAAGACUUACCACGAGUGAUUGGACGAGGUCUGUGUGACCUUAGUUCAAGGAGAAUACGGUGAGGACUGGGUGUCCUGAGCUGCGUGUUCAGGACUGGGUGUCCAGGACUGUGUGUCCUCGAGUUUAAAUACUCAGCCGCUCCAACCAGACGUACAACUGAGACAGCAGUUGGAACUGGUCUACCAAAUCGUUAUCUUCACCAAGCUUGCUGGUUCUAUUCCCUCAACUCUUUCAUUUCUUCAUAACUGUGUUGUGUGUUUGUUCAUAUAUGUGUUUGAAGACUUUGAUUGAAGACUUUCUCAAUUUCCUCAGUUCAAUUUCUUUAGUCUGUUUGUCUUCAUCCUGUGUUAUCCUGUGAUUACGCUUCCUGUACUCUGUGCCUGUCUUCAUUUCAUCAUGAUGACUAUGCUUGUAUUCUGUUAUGUUUACUUUUGAGUACUUAUUCCGCUGCUAGUAGUUCUUCGCUAAGGAAUUUCCUCACCGGCAAAUUCCUCAGUGAAGAAUUUCAUAAAAAUCGCCUAUUCACCCCCUCUAGUCGAUAUAACGCACUUUCAGUCUCGAACGCUAUGCUUGAAAGCAUCCAGAUAGUCGACUAUUUGGUUCUUUUUAGUGAGAAACCUGUUCCAAAGCUUUCGGGCUGACUCUCCGGGCUGUUGAGUUAUAUGACUUAAAUCGUCUGCAUCCGGUGGUCGGACAUAGGUCCCUUGAAAAUUUGCCCGAAAAGCAUCCUUGAGUUCUUCCCAGCUUCCAAUGGAGUUUUCAGGGAGGCUUUUAAGCCAGUGCCGAGCUGGCCCUUUGAGCUUGAGGGGUAAGUACUUAAUGGCAUGGAGAUCAUCUCCUCGAGCCAUGUGGAUAUGGAGGAUGUAGUCCUCAAUCCAGACCCCAGGGUCUGUUGUUCCGUCGUACGCCUCUAUGUUUACGGGUUUGAAUCCCUCUGGAAAUUCAUGGUCUAGCACCUCAUCGGUGAAACAUAGGGGGUGUGCGGCACCCCUGUAUUUGGGUGUACCGUGGUGUUCGGAUUUUAGUUGUGUUGCAUUGCAUGCUGGAGCGCACUUGCUUGGCCCAUAGAUGGUUCUGGUUGCGCCGUCCUUUUGAUGCGAGCCCUCACGUGGGUCACGUACUGGCUUGUGUGUGGCGUCGUUUGGCACUCUAUGUUGGCCACGAGGUCGUCUAUCCAACCGGAUGGCUGUUUUGUUUUUUUGAUUGCGGGGGAUCUAAGGCCUCCUCAUCGAAUUCAGGUAGCAGCUUUCGCUUCGGGUAGCUCUUUGUGUGGCGACUACCGCCGUACUUUGCUGCAGUGUUUUGUACUUCACUCCAUCUAAUUCUGAGUGAGUCUUGUGCAGCCCUGAGCCUUUGCUUCUGCUUUUUCAGACUCGUCGCAGUGGCAACAAGCCUUUGAUUGGUAUUCUGUUGCUCCGGGUGCCUGUCCGGUGUGAUGUCGUCCGGACUGUUAUCUUCGACAGAGUCGGGUUGUUCGGCUUGAUUCUUCGUGUUGUCGUGGUCGGACGAUGGUUCAAUGCCGUGUUUGUCAUCCGCUGGCUCACCCUGGUCUAUCGCUGGGUCUAUAUGAUCACUGUUUCUACCGAGGCAGGAUUUGGAGCGCCGCUUACGCCGCCGCUUUGACUGCUUCUCGAGGGAACAACCCUUCGCUGCGUCCUUCCGUUCCUCGUCAUCGUUUUCUUUGGGUGUGUCCACCAUGUAUACAUCAUAUGAUGAAGUGGGCGUCCAGUGCCCUGUGGGCAGUGGUUCAUGUUCGUCUCCUGCAUCGUCGUCCAUACCGUCAAUGUCUUCGGAGUCGAAGUCGAGCAUGUCGGUCAAAUCGUCGACAAUGGCUACUAAGUGGGUGGUGGGUGGGUGUCAUCCACAUCCCAAUCCCGCCGGACAUAGUUCGGCCAGGACUCUCCUGACAGGGAGAGAGACCUUAAUGAGUUCUGUAUGUCGCCAAAGGGCGAGUGCUGAAAAAUAUCCGCGGAGGUGAACUCCAUGAUCGGUGCCCAGUCGGAUUUGACAGGCACGGGCGCAGGCGGUUCGGAGUCCGUGGCCGGGGAAGAAUCCGGCAGUUUGGCGUCAUGGCUCUUGUGAAGGGUAAGGUCGAUACUCGGCUCGAUCGCCGAUGAGAAUGCGGCCUCUGUGGCGGGGUCUAUCCACCCGUCCCCGGAUGGCGCAAUUGGCUCCGAAUUGAGGGUCGGAGCGGUCGCCGGUGCGAUCUCCCGAACACUGUCCGAUGGUAGAGCUAAAUCAUGCUCAUCGUGACCGUGCGGCGCACUUGGCAAGGGCUCGAAUCCGUCGAAGAUCAAGUCUCUGUGGAUGUCGGCUGUGUAGUUCAAGUUUCCAAAUCUGACCUAAUGGCCAGGGGCGUAGCUCUCGAUCUGCUCUAGAUGGCCAAGCAAGUUGGCCCGCAGUGCGAAGCCACCGAAUACAAAGAUCCGUCCGGGGAGAAAAGCCUCACCCUAGACUGCAUCGCUAUCGAUGAUUGAAGGAUCCAUCAAGCCUAACGAUGACAACACAGAGGAACUGUUAAUGAAAGCACCAAUGUCGGUGUCAAAACCGGCGGAUCUCGGGUAGGGGGUCAUGAACUAUGCGUCUAGGCGGAUGGUAACAGGAGGCAGGGGACACAAUGUUUACCCAGGUUCGGGCCCUCUUGAUGGUGGUAAAACCCUACAUCCUGCUUGAUUGUUCUUGAUAAUAUGAGUAGUACAAGAGUUGAUCUACCACGAGAUCAGAGAGGCUAAACCCUAGAAGCUAGCCUAUGGUAUGAUUGUUGUUGUCAUACGGACUAAAACCCUCCGGUUUAUAUAGACACCGGAGGGGGCUAGGGUUACACAGGGUCGGUUACAAGGAAGGAGAUCUACAUAUCCGUAUUGCCAAGCUUGCCUUCCACGCCAAGGAGAGUCCCAUCCAAACACGGGACGAAGUCUUCAAUCUUGUAUCUUCAUAGUCCAACAGUCCGGCCAAAGGAUAUAGUCCGGCUGUCCGGAUACCCCCUAAUCCAGGACUCCCUCAAUGGCCAACGAAAGUUAUCCCUACAAAAUCAUAUAGGCUGGCUAUGCUCUAUCUUCACCACACAAAAUAUUUAAAUCAUGCACAACCCCGAUGACAAGCCAAGAAAUUGUUUCAUAAUUUUGAUGUUCUCAAACUUUUUCAAUCUUCACGCAAUACAUGAGCGUGAGCCAUGGAUAUAGCACUAUGGUGGAAUAGAAUGGUGGUUGUGGAGAAGACAAAAAGGAGAAGAUAGUCUCACAUCAACUAGGCGUAUCAAUGGGCUAUGGAGAUGCCUAUCAAUAGAUAUCAAUGUGAGUGAGUAGGGAUUGCCAUGCAACGGAUGCACUAGAGCUAUAAGUAUAUGAAAGCUCAACGGUGUGCAUCCAACUUGCUUGCUCACGAAGACUCAGAGCAUUUUGAGGAAGCCCAUCAUUGGAAUAUACAAGCCAAGUUCUAUAAUGAAAAAUUCCCACUAGUAUAUGAAAAUGAUAUCAUAGGAGACUCUCUAUAUGAAGAACAUGGUGCUACUUUGAAGCACAAGUGUGGAAAAAGGAUAGUAACAUUGUCCCUUAUCUCUUUUUCUCUCAUUUUUUGGGCCUUCUUUCCUUUUCUUUUUCUUUUUUGGCCUCUUUUCUCCUUUUUUUUCGUCCGGAGUCUCAUCCCUACUUGUGGGGGAAUCAUAGUCUCCAUCAUCCUUUCCUCACUUGGGACAAUGCUCUAAUAAUGAUGAUCAUCACACUUUAUUUACUUACAACUCAAGAAUUACAACUCCAUACUUAGAACAAAAUAUGACUCUAUGUGAAUGCCUCCGGCGGUGUACAGGGAUGUGCAAUGAUGCUUGAGUGACAUGUAUGAAAAUGAUGAAUGGUGGCUUUGCCACAAAUACGAUGUCAACUACAUGAUCAUGCAAGCAAUAUGGCAAUGAUGAAGAGUGUCAUAAUAACGGAACGAUGGAAAGUUGCAUGGCAAUAUAUCUCGGAAUGGCUAUGGAAAUGCCAUAAUAGGUAGGUACUAUGGUUGUUUUGAGGAAGGUAUAUGGUGGGUUUAUGGUACCGGUGAAAGUUGCGCGAUACUAGAGAGGCUAGCAAUGGUGGAAGGGUGAGAGUGCGUAUAAUCCAUGGACUCAACAUUAGUCAUAAAGAACUCACAUACUUAUUGCAAAAAUCUACAAGUUAUCAAAGCAAAGUAUUACAUGCAUGCUCCUAGGGGGAUAGAUUGGUAGGAAAAGACCAUCGCUUGUCCCCGACCGCCACUCAUAAGGAAGACAAUCAAUAAAUAAAUCAUGCUCCGACUUCAUCACAUAACGGUUCACCAUACAUGCAUGCUAUGGGAAUCACAAACUUUAACGCAAGUAUUUCUCAAAUUCACAACUACUCAACUAGCAUGACUCUAAUAUCACCAUCUCCAUAUCUCAAAACAAUUAUCAAGUAUCAAACUUCUCAUAGUAUUCAAUGCACUUGUAUGAAAGUUUUUAUUAUUGCCAGGUUGUUCUAAAGGACUCUCAAAAUAAUAUAAUGAAGCAUGAGAGAACAAUUAUUUCUAUGAAAUAAAACCAUCGCCGUGCUCUAAAUGUAUAAGUGAAGCACUAGAGCAAAAACUAUAUAGCUCAAAAGAUAUAAGUGAAGCACAUAGAGUAUUCUAAUAAAUUCCCAAACAUGUGAGUCUCUCUCAAAAGGUGUGUAUAGCAAGGAUGAUUGUGGUAAACUAAAAAGCAAAGACUCAAAUCAUACAAGACGCUCCAAGCAAAACACAUAUCAUGUGGUGAAUAAAAAUAUAGCUCCAAGUAAAGUUACCGAUAGACGAAGACGAAAGAGGAGAUGCCUUCCGGGGCAUCCCCAAGCUUAGGAUUUUUGGUGUCCUUGAAUUUCACCUUGGGGUGCCAUGGGAAUCCCUAAGCUUAGGCUCUUGCCACUCCUUGUUCCAUAAUCCAUCAAAUCUUUACCCAAAACUUGAAAACUUCACAACACAAAACUCAAAAUAGAAAAUCUCGUGAGCUCCGUUAGUGAAAGAAAACAAAACAACACUUCAAGGUACUGUAAUGAACUCAUUAUUGAUUUAUAUUGGUGUUAAACCUACUGUAUUCCAACUUCUCUAUGGUUUAUAAACUCUUUUACUAGCCAUAGAUUCAUCAAAAUAAGCAAACAACACAUGAAAAACAGAAUCUGUCAAAAACAGAAUAGUCUCUAGUAAUCUGUAGCUAACGCAAAUUUCUGGAACCUCAAAAAUUCUAAAAUAAAUUGCUUGACAUGAGGAAUUUAUGUAUUAAUCAUAUGCAAAAAGAAUUAACUAAAUAUCACUUUCCAAAUAAAAAUGGCAGCAAUUCUCGUGAGCGCUAAAGUUUCUGUUCUUUACAGCAAGAUCACAAAGACUUUUCCCAAGUCUUCCCAACGGUUCUACUUGGCUCGAACACUAAUUAAACAAAAAAAACAC
RNAcentral lists this long non-coding RNA (70701 nucleotides) under Triticum aestivum (bread wheat). Its description in RNAcentral is "long non-coding RNA (TAES_LNC020319)". Lineage: Eukaryota; Viridiplantae; Streptophyta; Magnoliopsida; Poales; Poaceae. The record is from RNAcentral.